AAUUAAAUUAUACAUUCUAUUAAGUCCAAAAACACUUUGUAUUAAUAACAUCAUCUAAAAACACUUUUAUCCAACAGUUAACACAUCCAAAGUAAUUAAGAAGUUGAUUCCAGCAAACGUUUCAAAUUUUACAAACUAACAAGCCGUCAAAUCUUGUAACGCAGAACUCCCAUAUUCUCAGUAAAAUUCCAGUAGAUAAACUACCAUUCUCAACAAAUACCCAGCAAAACUCCCAAGACCAGCAAUUUCUCUCAACCUGCAUAUGCAACACCAAUUGAAUAUACCAAGCACUAUCGUUAUAAAGAAUAAAAACCUACAGUAAAACCCCUAAGUUUUAGAUGCAACAGAAUCAUUACUAAUUCAAACUCAAUCUGUAUGUGCAACACUAAUUAAUAUAGCCAACCCUAUAUUAUAAAGAGUUAUCUAUUAAAGUAAAACUUUAACUUUUUAUACAACUUAAAUUAAUUCCUUGCUACAAUAAAAUAUAUAGUAAAUAAAAAAGGUACUUGUAAUAUAAAUUUCAAGCAUAGUACAUAUCACCAUGACAAUGAAGAUAAUAUGAACUAAUGAUUGUCUCAAUACUUAUUUUUCAGCAGAACGUUCCUAUAGGAAUAGGUAAGCAAGAUCAUAUAUGGGAGUUAGGCAUGCAAAACAUUAUGGUUAUUUCUAUCUGGGCACAUAUCCUGUGAAAAUCAUGCACAAAUGUUCUAAAACUCUAUUAUGAAUAUGACUACACACAAACUAUAGUUAAGAGUAUAAACACGAAAGUCUCCACAAAAUCUAUGAAAAGGCCAAAACUCUCCUUCUCAGGCUGCUGCCAUUUCUUGCCUGUUGCUAAGAAUUAAAAGGAGACUCAUUAAACUUUGAAGAAAUGGAAUGGAAGCCCAAUGAAAAGCCCAAAUCCUCACUUUCUCCCAAAUAUACAAAAAUAUCCUCACGUAUUGUCCUCAAAUAUUCUUUUGUUUCUCUCCAACCACACAACCUAAAAAGUGGCCAUAACUAAACUAGCCCAUAAUAUAACGAACUUCCUCUUUCCUUCAAAUGCAAAAGGAAAUUCCAAAAGCAAGAACCGACGAGAAAAUAGCACAAAUAAGUACACCAAACAUUUAUAUGAAUUAAUUAUUUUUAAAAAAAGUAUAUCAAACAGACAAUAGAAUGCAGUACCAUAUUCUCCUCAUUUCCCCUGCCACCCCAAACCACGCAUAGAGAAGCACAACAAAUAAAUAUAUUCCCUAUACUGGAGAUAUAUAUAAGAUUUCUCCGAAGGUCAUCAGGCUUUAAUACAGCCAGAAAGCGGAUCUCAAUAAAAAUUUAAUUCAAAAUCACUGGUUCUUUUUGGAUGAUGCAGUUGUCAUUAAAUAUUUUGAAAGUAGCUGUGAAAAUAUAUCUCAUUCUGUUAUUCUAACCCCAAAAAUAAAAAUGGAAGAAAUGCCUAAAUAAUAACAAACAUUUGUCGGUCGUUCAGUGCACAACAACCUACAAUUGAAUUUCUUUUUGAGUAUCUUGCCAUUGUUGAGAGUGUACAAAAGUUUUUCACAGCUUCAGCAUUAAACCAAGUAGUAUACUACAAAAUGAAACUGUAGGAUAAACCACGAACGACAUCUAAUUAUAAAAUGUUGAUGAGUGGAAACUUGAUAAUAUUGAUGAAUCUGUUAGUACCUAUAAACGAGGAAUACAAAAACAGGCCUGGUUCACUGCAUUAUUAUUCAUUACCCCUCUAAUUAAUUAAGCUGAAGAAAAUAUCAGUGGCAGAGAAUUCUGUUCUUGGAUCCGUUUUCAACAGUUCGCAUUGUAUAUUAUAUCCUUAAGCAACUUCCGUUUUUCUAAAUAUUUGGAACUGUUUAAGAACCAAUCCAACUAAAAUUAUUGUUGCAAAAGGAAAAAUAUUAAGCACAUAGCAGAGCGAAAGAAUGCAUAUAUGUGAGAAUACGUCUCCUUGAUAUCGAAUAGAAAAGGCCAAAGUAAGUUCAAUAAAAAUAAUAUUGUAUGUUUAGUUGUAAGGUGCUAUUUAUUACUUUGUCUGAACAAGAAAAAGUUCUAAAAAGACCAAUCAUUAGCUUCAAUAAGCCCAUGCUUGGCUCCAUAUAUAUUAAUAACGAUUACAACAUACACAAUUAAUUUUAAAUAGUGGUCACAAUUAAUGGCUAACAAAGUAGUGAAAGGAUACCUCUAUAGAUGAUUCGAGUUGAUGUUGCAACUUCAGCAUUGACAUUGUCUUUAAGCCAUUUCCUCAGUUCAGCAUGGACCUGUCACAUAUAUUUAAAACAUGGUCUGAGAAAAAUGAUUACAUCAAAAUUCACAGAAUAUCAACUUUAGAAGCACAACAAAGAGCAAUUAUGUCAGCAAGUUUUGCUGGCAAAAAGAGAUAAAGUAAUAAUUGAAAUAGACUUAAAACAUCUAUUUACUUGUAUUCAAUAUGUAAACACUGUCAUGACCCAACCCAGACCUGGCAAGAUAUUGUCCGCUUUGGGCCUUAACAAGGCCCGCACGGAUUUGUUCUUGGGGCGCUCAUACACCCCAAAACGCGUCUUGCCAAUUAAGGUGUGGAUCACUCCUUAUAAACCCAGCAUCUCUCCCGUACUUUGCCGAUGUGGGAUUUGCCUAGGGUGUUACAUACACCCCCCCUUGAGGACUCAGCGUCCUCGCUGAGGUUUGCCCCACCAUCGCUCAAGAGGACACGCGGAGCCGCUCUGAUACCAUAAUGUCAUGACCCAACCCAGACCUGGCAAGAUAUUGUCCGCUUUGGGCCUUAACAAGGCCCGCACAGAUUUGUUCUUGGGGCGCUCAUACACCCCAAAACGCGUCUUGCCAAUUAAGGUGUGGAUCACUCCUUAUAAACCCAGCAUUUCUCCCGUACUUUGCCGAUGUGGGAUUUGUAUUCAAUAUGUAAACACAAAGUACAAAACUAUUUCUGUGCCUGUACCCAUCUGAAAAGGAAAUGACACAGGCAAAAUUAUUGGUGGGUUUGUACGAAUAUUUAGGCAGAUGUAUAAAAGAAAGCAUCCACAAGCAUGGGAGUCUGAAGAUGGAUUGGGAAACAAAUAUAAUUCUUUGUUGUAUGUAUGAAUCUAUAAGGUGAAAAAAUGAUGAUGACAAUCAGAAACAGCUCUACUGUAUUAUUACUUGUUUCAAAACUUCUAGAGCUAUAUACAAAUUCUGAAAUGCUCUGCCUAGGAAAAAAUACACGUGGUGAAAAUAUAUGGAAAUGUGCUGACAAAAACACCAAACAAGCUCAUAAUCAAUUCUUGUUAAAAAAAAAAAAGGCUCAUAAUCAAUCCAACAAUAUUUAUGUUGAUAGCAAGAAUAAGGAUAGUCAUAUCAUUCUUAUAAGCACGAAGAUCAUUGUCAUUGAAACAUCAAAUUAAAUAAGACAUAAACUCAAACUUCCUUCCUGAGCCUAAGCAGGGGUUGCAACCUUUCCAGUAUCAAUGGCCCAAACUAGCUCAUAAGCCAACACAACAUUGUCCCAGUUGGAUUUUUUUUCUGCAAGAGAACAAAUAAUUAAUUGUUCAUGCAGUGUAGAAUCUAAUAUUACAAAAUAUACAGUCUUUCGCUGACCAUAGAUAAUCAUCCUAUAAGAAAAGCAAACCUCACGUACGUACCUAAGAUCAGAAAAGAAACAAUAAUGGAUGGAUGUGGAUAUAUAUAUAUGCAUGAAAAUAAGAAUAUUCCUAACAUGACAGCAGGGAACGCCACUAAAAUAACGUUAGGUGCCACGGCGACCGGGGUAUAGUACACCAUAUAAAUACUCAAGUUUAAUUUUUAUCAAUUAAGUUCAAAAACACGCCACCAAAAAAGCUAAGGUUUCUUCAACCUCAAAACUUUUAUUAUUGAGAGCUUGCAAGCUCUCUAACCUGAGAUAACCCAACUCCGACUUGAGCGUCGGAGUGUGGUCGCCGACCACCCCCGGCUCCACCUCUGACCUCUUUUUUAGUUGUUUUGCAGGUUUAAGAUAAUUUUCACCAGCCUUCCGCACCUGAAGUCAGACCCCCGCCAUAUCCACCACCUUCUCAAUCCUCCUCCACUCCACAAAAAGCCUAAACAACCCACAUGCGCCGAACAAGCGAGGCACCCCGCUCCCCAACAAAAAUAAAUUUAUUGUUCUUGGCUUGGUUUUGUGAUUUUAUCUCGUUAACCCAAAAUCAGCCGCCAACAUAUUGUAAGGAAAGAUUAGAUAUAAAAUGGUUGUAAGAAAUAAUUAAUCAUUAAUUUGAAUCUAGACUAAAUUAAAACUUAAAAUUAAAUGUCAUGAUAUCUUUCACGAAAAUACAAAGUAUAUACAAAUCAAUGUAGGUCUACAUUAUAAAGUUCAGCAUCAUUCCGAAAGUUUCAAAUACAUCUUUAUCAAAUGAUAGCCUGCAAUAUAAGCAAUAAUAUAAUAAGAUGUAGGAUAAAUUAACACCAUAUUUACGUAUAGGAUGAGUUUGGUUGAAGGAUCAAAAUGCGGGAAUGGAAUAUUCUUUCAAACUUCAUCCAAAUCCCUUAUUGAUGCUCUCAAAGAGUAUUGGGAUUAUCUUAUCCUGAGCCCACAAGAUAAUCCCAACUUUAUGAAGAAAGUUAUCUCAUGGGUGGCCUUGGGACUAGUUGAGAAUAAUUUUAAAAAGCAAUUAUUUAUACUUAAUAGUUUCUCAAUAUUAAAAUUAUAUAAAUAUGUACUAAGCAUAAUACAAGUAUUAUAAUAAUUAAACAUUAUAAAUAACAAAUAAAAAAAAGUUAUUUAUUUAUCAUGAAAAUAAAAUAUUAAAAAGUAAUUGUAUUUGUUUAAAUAUUUUAGUAACAUUAUUAAUGUAAAUUUAUUAUUAAGUAAUUUUUUUGAUUAAUAGUGUAAAUAAUUUUCGCUUGUUUUAAACAUUAAAAUAUAAUACAAUUUUAAAUUUAAAUAUAUAAUUUUAUUAUUAUAAAAGUAAAGUUUAUAUCUUUCCAUUAAACUUAAAAUAAUAUCUGGUCAUUUUUAUUAUCUUUAAUCUAAUUUAAUGUUAAAAUUAUAUAUACAUUACAAUUUAGUCCAAUCUUGUAUUACGCCAAAUAUGAGAGGUCACGAAAUAUAAUCUUAUCCCAUCACAUCUUAUUUUAAGUCAUAUAGCUCAAGUCAUAUUCAAUUAUAUCUCAUCUCAUCCUAUCCUAUCCUAUCCACCGCACCAAACAAGCAUAUAUAUGUGAUUAAGAACUACAAAUACUAUAGCUCGAAGCAUUUCUGUUAGAGUUUCUCCUAAAACAUAGAUAUCCAGAGACAAGCUUUUAGAAUGUUUGAAAUAUAAUCACUCAGGGAUGUAAGUCGAGAUAGUUAACGGUACAUCAAAUCUGUAAUUCUAACGCUAGCUAGACUCGAGCCCCUCUCAAAUCCAAAAGCUAUAUAGCUUUCCGAACACAUUUACCGAAUGACCAACAUCAAUUUCUUCUGCAACUGAUAAAGGACAAAUACAACAAUAUAUGAUAACUAAAGGAACAAAUAUAGGAAACUGCUAAUGCGUUUUUAUGGAAUUAAAAUGAGUCAAAGGAACCCUUAGUUCUUUAAUUUCGGAGGAAUUUGGGGAUUAAAUUGCAUGUGUUAUAUAUGCUUCCGUUUUCGUUUCUAUUUCAACUAAAUUGCACAAGUCAAGUCACAUGGCAGCAGAUUUACGUGCAUCCAGUUUUGGAGUGGCAGAGAUAGACCAAUUGUACCAAGGCUAUUAUAUUUAAUGUACUAAUUAAUGUUAUGGAUAAUUAGUGAGCAGCCUAACAAAUAACUUGUAUCACAAUUUACAGCUUCAACUGACAAAAUAAUAAAAUUAAUGACUCUAUGUAUAGCUAAAAACUCUAAUUCAUAAUAAUAAUAAGGGAGUUCAAAUAAAACAGCGGCUAAUAAAAUAGUCUGUCACUACAAAUAAUAUGAAGAAACACCAAGCUUUAGAGUUUGUCAUUUAUUAAUGAUUUCUUCAUCAAAUUAAUCCAGCGAGCUUGUUCAGAGACCCAACUUGUUCAAUAGACGAGGAAAAUUGCUUGAAUUCGAAGAAUUUUGACAGAGAUAAGAAACCUACAAGGAGGGAGGAUUAAUAAUUAGAAAAAGAAUAGUGCAAACUUUUAUGUGUGUGUCUGUCUAUAUAUAUAUAUGUAUGUAUGUGUGUGUGUGUGUGUGUGUUUGUGUGUGUGUGUGUGUGUGUGUGUGUGUGUGUGUGUGUAUAAACAUGUAUACAUACGGGAGAUUUUGAAACAACCUUACAAUAGAGUGAACAGAAAUAAUUAUUCCCUUGCAGCCUAGCCGGACACCCACUGCAUUUGUUGGUGGUGGAUUCUCUAAAAUAUGUUCCUGGCCUUUGGUUUAUAUGUAGUACUUUUUCACCAUUAUGUUGAUAUGUCUGAAGAGAAAAUAUAUGGAGCACGUUUGUAAGAAAGUGGUCAGAUAUAAAUGUAGUUUCACAAGUCAUAUGCUCAUGCCCGGAUACCGAAUUUGAACCCAGAACAAAAUUGUGUGGCACAGCUCAAUUCGGAUUAAAAUUCGGAUGUUCGUGCGUGAGCAUUAUUAUGCAGUUCAGAGUAGUACUUCGUUGGCAAAUAGCAGAAUUUUUAAGAAAAUAUUCAAUGAAGAAGAAAUAGAAAAGAUUUGAAUUCAAGCUUUGACUUAUUACUUGGAUAUGUCCACAGUCAAUGAACUCGUGAGCCUCAACGAACCGUACAACGCUCUUUUCGUUAUAUGUGCGGAUCUGAAAUAUUAAAAAUUUACAAAACAAAUACAUAAGUAAAUAAAUAAAUCAUGCAGAUAGUAUUAAAAAUUUAUGAUGUAAUAAAUUUAAUUCAAAUAAUAUUUAUUUAUUCAUGUGAACCUUUAAGAGGUGAUGAGUACUUUCGUGAUUGGACAAGCAUUUUUCGCAUAUACUGGUGCAACAAUUCAAACAAUAUAUGUUCCUUUGUCUAACUGCCGUUCCGUGAUUGCAAUAUUGAAAGCUUCUCUCUUGGAAAAGAGUCAAAAGACCUUGGAGCCACUGUGGUUGAUUCCCGGCCUGAAAACACGAUUGAAUACAAUUGAUGUUAUUAACUAAUUAAAAAAAGUAACAACGAUUUCGAGUCCUAAUGAACCAACGAAGUUGGAUUCAAUAUGCUAAUCACCCUUUAUACGAGAUUAUUAAAAGUUCAACGCAACUAUAUGAUAAAAGCUAAAUCUUAAUUCUAAAUCAAAAGGUGAAAAUUAAAGAAAAGACCGACCAUAAUUGUCUAUUGAUGCUGGAGAGUGUAUAUUUUUCUUUGAGAGAGAGGGGAGUGUUGGUAAAGAGAAUUACACAAGAGUCAAAGAGAAUUGAGCUUUUUAUAUAUGUGUGUAUCGUAUUUGUGUCGUAUUGCUGUCCGAAAAAUUCUAGCACUGUUUAGUUAAUUAAUGUAAUAGGUUUCGUCAACAUAAAAAAAAAAAAAAAUUAGCACGCGGGAAGAUUAAUUUCUAUUUUAGCAACGAUAAUAGGAAACGUUUGUGUCUUAUUUGGGUUGUGUUUGUGUUUUAAUUAACGCAAAAACUAUUUUGUUGCCUACUCUAGAGUUAGAUCAGGAAACUUAACAAAGAAUAAACGUGGAAAAAAUAAAUUGUAAUGAGUUAAUGGGAAACAGAAGGUACAUGCGCAAGCUGAUUCGGAUUAAUUUUAAUGGGAAACAAAAGAUACAUCCACAAGUUGAUUUGGAUUAAUUAAUUUUCAACAUCUGUAAUCAAUUAUAGGGUGAGGUCGCUUGAACCUACUAAAUCUCUCUUUAUACCUGAACAAAAAUUAUAUUUAUUUUUAAAUUUUUAAAUUUCAAAAUGUUAGAAUUACUCUUCAUUUUUUUUAACAGGUGUAUAUUUUCUCUCUGCCAUAACAUCCUGUAAACUAAAUUCUCACGUAUACUCUAACAUGGAUUUUGAUUCUUAAUCUUUCGUAUUAGAUCAUGAUUGCAUUAUUAAUAAACCCUUACUGCAUUUCUUGUAUUAUUGAAGUAAAAAUAUCAUGGAGCUCAACCAUAUGCAUAUCUCCGCUGGGCAACCAAAGUCUUUUUGGCAGGGCUUACAAUUCAUGUCACUAUAAUCCAUGUUCUUCAAUAUGGACGAAGGAUGCCGAGGUCAUUGGAAUCAUGAUUUUCAUUUUCAAAGAUUUUAGGAAAAAAAAUUAAUGACUUUGAUGUCUUGUAAAUUUCGUUUGAAGUUUAUAUUUGGAUAGUAAGUUUUGUUUUGUUUUUAAUUGUUGAUGGCAUGUAGAAAAUCUGAAUUUAUCAAUUUUUGACAGACAAACAUUACCAUUCACUUACAAUUGAACAUUGAGAGAAGAAAAAAUGCGAAGCCCUGGGUGCGAAACUGAGACAAAAAGCGAAAGAGAAAACAGGGUACAAUAGGUAAUUCCAUAAAAAAAAACUUUAAUAAUAAGAAAUUUAAAUAAAAAAUAGGUGUAUAAAUAAAAUUGGUGGGUUUUAGUACUCUCACCCUUAUCAUGUGUCUUUUGAAGCGAGUGGAAUUCAUGCUUUUUAAUUUGUUGAAAUGAUUGUUCAAUUUCGUGUGUUCAAAUUGGAGAUAUAAAGUUCUCGUGAUUGUAAUGAAAUUUGCAGCGAUUGAUUCUAACUUCAGUUAUCAAAUCCAAGAUGUGAUUUAAAAAAGAAAAUUACAAUUCUCUCUGCAACCUAAGCAAUACCACCCAAAUCCGAUCCGAUCCGUUCUUAACCCGAUUUUUUGAUCCGAUCCGAUCCGAACCGAACAUAUUCGGAUCGGAUCACAUAUUCGGGUUGAGUUCGGAUGACAUUUUUCUCAAUCCGACCAACCCGAAAUCCGAUCGGGUUGACCCGAACCCGAUCCGAAUCCGAUUUUGCCCACUCCUACCUUAAGGUUUCAACAAGAGAUAACAAGAUCACUUUUUGACCAUAGUACUUGGCUCUAUUAAUCCCAAAAAUUGACUAAAUGUUUUAUAAAAAUAGAAAUGCAAUAUUAAGAUAAUGUAAUAAUACAUAUAUUUUAAAAUAAUUUCAACAUUAAAAAAUUGUUUAAUAUUUUAAAUCUAUUAGACAUAUUUUAUUAUAUUAAAUUAAAUUUUAUAACAAAUAGAAACAUUAUUGUCUAUUAAAAUAAGCAUAUAAUAAAUUAAAUUUUUUAAUAUUAUAAAAAAUAAUUUUAAUAUUAUUAAUACAUGAGACAUAUUUUAUUAAUUGUGAAAUUUAUUUAAACCAAAUAUUUAUUUAAAAUCUUUAUGCUAAAUACAAAUGUAUUAUUCAAAAAACAUAAAUAUUACAUUUUAAAAUUAUUUUAAAUAUUAAAAUUGUCAAUAUCACUAGUCUGCUAGAUAGUUUAAAUUAUUUGUAUUAUACUUUUUGUACUCAUUAAACAUUUUAAGCUAUUUUUUAUUUACUAUAUUUCAAUGAGGUCCCUGAAUGAUGUAGUAAAAAACUUAUGGCAUCAAUAAUGUUUCAACUGUGUACCAUUAGAUUUAAUUAACGGUAAACAAUAUUUGUAUUAAAGAAAGAGACAUAUAAAAAUUUUUAAACCUCCUAUAAAUUUAUAAUGUGAUAACUUUUUUGAACAUAAAUGUUUCAAAAUAUAUCAUCUAAUAGUUAUCUAACAAAAAUCAAAUAAAUUGUAAUUAUAAAACUUAUAUAUGGUGUAACACUAAUAAAUGACACAACUAAGUACGUAUAUUUCAGUGAAUGUCAUAAAUUGCAUCAAUAAGCUCAUGGAUGAAAUUGUUUGUAAUCUAAAAUUACUAGAUCACCCAUGUUUUAAUAAAAGUUACAUUGCAUAUUAAAAUACGCGCUAUAUACUACUAUAGACCAUUAUAUAAUUGAUCAACAAGUAUAGAUUAUUUUUAACACCCAUUUAGUACAUGAUAAUUUCAUUGCGGGUUGGAACACUAUCAUCUGAUUUUUUUUUCCUAAUAUACCUCCUUUUCUUUUCAUUUUUCUCAAAUAAAAAUAAUUUAUUUUUUCCAAUUUUUUAAAAGAAAAGGAAAAUAAGAAGAGUUUUAAUUUUUUUUCUAAAUGGAAUUGAUGAGUGGUAUAGAGGACAAGUGCUGUAAUCAAUGGAGUUUUGGUGAAGAGUAGCCUUCAAAUAUCAUAAUUGACGAAGGAAAUUAUACCCCUAAAAUUGGGUUUACGGGAUUUUGAACACCUGCUCUCACACAGUGUAAAAGCAAGUGUUCGCCAAUUAGGCCAAAGAACUAUUUACUUUAAUUAAGGAGAAAGAAAAAUGUUAAAUAAACUAAAUAUUGUAAGAUGGUUUCAUGGGGUGAGGAAGGAACUUUCUAGAUGUCAUAACUUGGGCUAUAGGUACCCCUUUUGGCCAUAUAAUAUAAUUUCAAAGUUUGCGAUGAGAUGAACCAAAUCUAAGACCGUGUUUAUGCCAUUCUGCCACAUGAUCGUGCCAAAAUUCUAUUUCUUUCCUUUCUAUUUUAUAAUAUUAAGUUAUUUUUUUGUUUCUCUAGUUAAUUUCAGGAGUUUUAUCUUUUUUUUUUUAAAUAUCAAAUUUAGAUGCCAUUUUUUUUUGUUUUUCUUAUUUGCAAUAGGAGAAUUUUACUAUAAAAUGUGCCUAUUUUGAUAAAUUUACAAUAUUUAUGGUUAGUAUAAAUCCGGCCCAACCGUUUUGGGGAUAUACUAUACCAUUACGAAUCUUGCGACAAUACAAACCAACCCACAUUGUCUAGCUAGAAAUUUAGUUUCUUUCCUAGUCAUUUUAUAAUUUUAAGUUAUUUUCCUAUUUUUCUUGUUACUUUUAAGAUUUUUAUCUUUUUUUUUUCUAGAUUUUAGAUUUGGGCGCCACUUGUUUUGUUUUCCUUAUUUAGAUUAAGAGAAUUAUAUUAUAAACUAAUAUGUUAGAUUUGCCUACUUUGGUAAAUUUCCAAUAAUUAGGGUUAGUGAUAAUUUUAUGAAAUGAGACUUAUCAUGACAUUUGUAGACNNNNNNNNNNNNNNNNNNNNNNNNNNNNNNNNNNNNNNNNNNNNNNNNNNNNNNNNNNNNNNNNNNNNNNNNNNNNNNNNNNNNNNNNNNNNNNNNNNNNNUGUGUUUUAGAUCACUUUGUGCUCUGAAUAUGAGUAUAAUUAUAGAUGACCAAAAAGCUCAAACUUUAUUUAUAGGAUGCAUCAGAAGACUUGCAUAAAUAACAAAAAACUUGUCUGCAGAUGAACUAAAAGAAGUCUAAAUCAGAGAAAAUGUUGUAGCAAUUGUUGUAGCAAUCCAGAAGCAAAUUACAAGCAAGACUACUUGCGUGUUAAUUGACAAAGUGGCGACAGGCGACACAAAAUGAUAUGCGAUCCAAGGUUUCCAAAAAAGAGACACAUGGUCACAUGCUUUUGGUUGUCCUAAUUCCAAGAUAUAAAAAGCGUACAUGUGAAAGAAACAAGGUGGCCGUCACACAAAGAAAAAACAGAGAGAAAAAGAAAAAUAAGAGAACAAGAGAGAGUUGAGGGUUGCAGCAAGAGAUUUCUGAGAAAAAGAAAGAGAGGUCGCAAAAACCUAAGAGAUGGACGUCUUAUAUUAGCAUAACUCAAUUCCUCAUCUUUAUUUGCUUGUUUUCAUCUCUCUAUGAGAAUGUAUCUGAUGGCAAAAACGAGUAUUAUUACUGUUUUAUCGCUAUCAUGAACUAAACUUUGAUGUAGUUGGGUGAAAGCAAGGUUAAUGAUUAUUUGACUUAUAUAUGCGUGUUGCUGCUGCAUCAUUUUGUCUUAAUUUUACUUAUUGCAAAUCUCUAUUUCAGUUGACCACCCAUUUAAUGGAUACUAGCUAAGGAGAAGCCUAAAAAUGAUCUGACUGAGUGGAACAAAUUAAGACAAUACAUGGUUUUAGUUUGAGUUUCCCAAGUUGAGUUAAUCUCGAUUUAAAUAUGGUCAUACUUAAUCUAAGAUUAGUGAAGAACAAGACAUAGGGAUUUACCUUGUAGAGCAAUUGAAUUUUAGAACAUAUAAUACUAUAUCUAAUGUUAGCAUCGCAACUGGUCACUGUUACGUUGCAUAUAGAUAUAAGAUAUCCAACAUGCGACAGCUGAGGAUGCAUGAGGGAUUCUGUCCAGUGCUUUAACAUGUGUCAUAGCAACAAUACUGUAAUUGAAAAACAAUCAAUAGAUUGAAUUGAAUGAGUUUAAGCACUUAACUAUUUCUUUCAUAUUGAGUAUAUCUUUGUGUUUACCAUGAGAUUUUUUCCUUAUUGCAUUCUAUUUAUUUUAUUUUUAAUUUUGUUAGGUCAUUAAUUUCAUUCAUGAUUUUAUUUUAAUUAGAUUGAAUUUGUAUUGUUAAGAUUGCUGUAGCAAGUACUAUAAUAUUAAUCCUUAUAGAGACAAUCUGGAUACUCAUUAUUAUAUUACUUGUUGUGUACACUUACACAUUGACACCUAUAGCAAUACAUAUCAACAAAUUUUUGACAUUGUUUCCGAGAAUUGAAUGCUUAUUGUGAUUUGUGAAGUCAAUUUUAGUUGGUGCCAAUUUUAGUUUUUUUUAUAAUUUGUUUACUGUGUUGACAGAAGUGCUCUAGCAACCCUUGUAUGCGUAGGUACAAAUAUGUUGAAUUCUAGUUUGAUUUAGAAAUUUAAAGAACUGCAAGGAGAUUGAGAAAAGAUCAUAGAAAUUUAAGAUAUGUUGCAGACAUAGAUGAUUUGUAAGGUAUAAGGAACUUGAACCCUCGAUGAGAAAUAGAACCCGUCAAUGCACAUGGAGGUAAAGAAGGUCAAAAUGGACAAAAUAUUUAUGGGCAACUAGAGAACAGUAAUAUUAUCUACAUGGCAAAUGAUAGAGAUAGAGUCAUUAGAGAUUAUGCCUUGUUGGCCCCUCAAGCCAUAAAUCCUGGAAUAGUUAGACCUAAAGUGCAAGCUGCUAAUUUUGAGCGUAAACUAGUGAUGUUUAUACACUUCAAACAAUGCGGCAAUUCAAUCGACUGCCAUCAGAAGAUCAUCGCCUUCACUUUAAACUAUUUCUAGAAGUAAGUGAUGCUUUCAAGAUUGCUGGAGUAUCGCAGAAAGCAUUAAGAUUCAUACUCUUCCCAUUUUCUCUAAGGGAUCGAACAAGAGUAUGGUUGAACUCUCUACCGCCUAAUUUCAUUAUUAUAUGGAAUGACUUGGCGGAUAAAUUUUUAAUAAAGUGCUUCCCACUUGCCAUGAAUGCAAAAUUGAGAAAUGAGAUCACAAAAUUUUCCAUCAACUUGAAGAUGAAAGUUUGUAUGAUGCAUGAGAAAGAUUCAUGGAGUUACUCAAGAGAUGUCCUCAUAAUGAUAUUCCUUAUUAUAUACAGUUAGAAACUUUCUACAAUGGUCUCAACCCAAGUACUUAGAUUGAUGAUGGAUGCUUCGGUAAAUGGGACCUUGUUAUCUAAGUCUUAUAAUGAGGCUUAUGAAAUUUUGGAAAGAAUAGCUAAUAACAACCAUCGGUGGGCAGGAGUCCACAAUGUAGAUGCCUUGACAGUAUUAUCAGCUCAAGUAACCUCAUUAUCAAAUAUAGUGAAGACUAUUGUUGAGUGUAAGAAAAUGCAUAUUUAUAAAGGAGAAAACCAUCAUUUUACAUUUCAAGUCUUACUAACAACCUUUACUUUUAUGUAUUUAACCUUCUUGUGAUUUGAUUACAUGUGUUUUAUUUUAAUUAAGUAUUUUAUGUAUUUUAGGGGCAUUAUAGUCAUUUCAUAAUAAAGGAGAGAUCAGACGGCAAAACGGACAUCACUUUUGAACUCAGGACGGUCGAAAACCUUAGGAGGAGCAUAAAAGGAAAAAUGAUACUAUUCACAUGUACGGUACUAUUCACGUGUACGGUACUGUCUACGUUACUGUUCACGACACUGUUUACAUAGACGGAUCGAUGACGUGGCAUUGACCGAUGAUGUGGCAUUGACUGAUGAGGUGUCACGAUCCUGUUGGGCUAAAAUUCUUAUGUACUGUUGAUGGUGACGUGGCAGCAUAUCAGUGGAAGAAAAAUCUUGCGUACGGUACAUGCAUCACACAAGAUUAUUUUCAACCAAACCGCAUUACUAUUCAUCCAGGUCAAACUGUGUUACUGUUCAUCCACGUGGUCAAACCGCGUACUGUUGACUGAUGACGUGGCGCAAUCUUGAGCGUCCAAACUGUUUUUAAUUCGAUGGCCAUGAUUUACUCCAUGUAUCUAUAAAAAGGGGGCCUCCCCCCCUAAUUUGAUAUCUCUGAAUCUAUUUUUGGGAUCCAUUUUCUGUAAUUCCUUCUCAAUCUUGUAUUUUCUUCGUAUUUUAAUAAAUUCUCAUUUUGCCCCUAGUUCAAUUAUGAGUAGCUAAUUUUCUUUCAAGCUUGGGUUGAAGGUGAAGUCUCAACAUGUGUCAUGGGCUUAAUUUGGUAAAUUUAUUUUCUCUUCCCCUCUAGUUUUUAUGGAUGUUUUGACUUCUCGUCGACAAAUAAUACUAAUCUUGUCUAGUACCGCCUUGGUUUCACCGGUCCUCUAGUACAAGGUUAUUAUUAUUUGGCACGAUAAGCCCUUAGCAUCAUAUUGAUUAGAGCAUGGUUCAUGAGGUGUGGAUUCCCCCCUCAUGAUUUAAUUGGCAUUAAUACGGAUUAUUUAGCCCAUGAUGCAUGUUGAUACGGAUCCAGAUACCCAAGUACGUCAUUUCAAUAGAUUUCGUUUCAAUUUAUUCUCGCCAUUGCAAUUCCAAUUUUAGAAUUUAUUAUCGCCAUCUCAAUUCUAAUUUUAGGAUAAUUUAAAUCACUUCCACCACAAUUUCAACCACCCAUUUGCAAAAUUAAUUCUACAUAUAAUUAAAAUCCACCUCCUCGUGGGGUCGACACUCAUCACCAUUGAUCUAUACUACAAUAGAUUCGUGCGCUUGCGAGUAUAUUAAAAUUUGCACAACAAGUUUUUGGCGCCGUUGCCGGGGAGGUAAGUAAUUUUAAUUCAUAGAAUUAAUUUUUGUGAAUAAUUUCUUUUAUUUCUUUUCUUGUUUUUUUUAAUUAAAAAAAAAGAAAAAAAGUGAAUCUACAUUUAAAGGUUAGUAUUUCUUUUCUUUUUCUCUUCUUUAAAAUUCUGUGAUUUAAUUUUCAAUUUAUUUUUCUUUGUCAUUUUUUUUAUUUUAUUAAUUUAAUUUUUAGUUAAUUUAUUUCACGUAUUUAUUUUUGUGUAUUUUUAUAGAAAUGUUGUAAUAGCGCAAUAAGGUUGUAUUGUAAUUUCUCCCUCUUCUUUAUUUUUAUUUGUUUUGUUCCCAUCUUUAUUUUUAUUUUAUUUGUUUUGCAUGCAUAGUCGUAGGUCAUUAUUACCUAAUCUUGAACCUAUAGACCUUGAAUUAGAAAAAACACUUUGCACACACAGGCACAUUAAAAAUAAAUUUAGAAUGGAUUUACAAGCACCACAGGAGAGGCAAUUUAAGGAUUAUUUCAGUCCUUUAGCCAAUUUGAGCACAUCAUGCAUAAGAUACCCAAAUGUAGCUGCUAGGAGUUUUGAAUUAAAACCUAGUGUGCUAAAUUGUCUCCCAACAUUCUAUGGCCUAGAAAAUGAGGACCCAUAUAAUCAACUGAAUGACUUUCAUACUAUUUGUCAAACAUUUAAAUAUGAGAAUUUUUCAGACGAUGAUGUUAAACUCAGAUUAUUCCCAUUUUCUUUAAAAGAUAAAGCUCGUUCAUGGCUUAAUACAUUGUCUGCUAAUAGUAUUGCAUCAUGGGAACAAAUGGUAAAAAAAUUUUUGAAUAAAUAUUUUCCAGUGCAUAAAACCAAUGCUAUUCGCAGGGAAAUCUCAGAGUUUACUCAGAGAGAAGACGAGCAGUUUUUCGAAACAUGGGAGUGAUUCAAUGGGCUACUCUUGAAAUGUCCACAUCAUGGGUAUGAGAAAUGGCACCAAUGCCAAUACUUUUUGGAGGGAUUAUUGCCGAAUGUGCAAGAAUGGCUAAUGGCAACAAGUGGAGGAGAGCUAAUGUCAAAAAGUGCAUCAGAGAUUUGGGAAUUCUUUCAGCGACAAGCGGAUAAUUCCCAACAACAUAGUUGAUCACUCUGGAAUACUAGAAGAAUUAAGGGAGUAAAUGAGGUUCAAAUUGGCGAGUCAACUUCGGGAAUCAAAGAAGUCAAGGAGAUGGUUGAAGGUCUUGCUCGACAAAUAGCAUCGUUAUCGACUGCUAAAUCAAUAGAACCACAUGACCAUAACUCAUACUCAGAUCAAGCCAAUGCCAUAGGUGUAAUGAGAAAGCCAUCAAAUUACAACCCAUACUCCAACACAUAUAACCCUGGAUGGAGAGAUCACCCCAAUUUUUCAUGGUCUCAAGGAUUCCAACAGAACGGACCAGCAGCUCCAGCUCCACCAAUUCCACAAAAUCCUCAAGCCUCUCAGCCCCCAUUUAGACCAUACAAUCAAAACCAGAACUACUCACAACCCAGACCAUGGGAGGAUGCAUUCCAGAAUUUCAAGAAUGUUACUCACUCCACGAUUGAGCAACAGAACCGCACCAUUGAUGGACUACAAAAUGAGUUGAGAGCAGGCUUCAACUCACAAGCUCAAUCAGUGUCAAGCCUCGAGAAGAUGGUAGGACAACUUGUUUCUUCAGUUCAGACCUUGACAAUGACUGUUGAGAAAGGUAAGUUUCCAAGUCAACCAGUGCCUAAUCCUAAAGGAGUGCAUGAAGCAAGUACCAGUUCACCAAAGCAGCACGGAGAGGUCAAAGCAGUAAUGACCUUGCGAAAAGGCAAAUAAGUCGACAACAAAGUGGAGAUGCCGGUGAUAAAAGAAAAUCAAAUUGUACCUGUGAAUAUUAAGGACUCAUCACCGGAGGAGAGAGAAGAAACCAACCCACGAGAAUAUGUUCCCAAGGCUCAAUUUCCUCAGAGGUUAGCUAAAAGAAAAAAGGGAAAAUCCACAGGUGAGAUUCUUGAAAUCUUCAAACAGGUAAGCGUUAACAUCCCUUUGCUUGAUGCUAUUAAACAAGUUCCAUCUUAUGCCAAGUUUCUUAAAGACCUUUGUACUAAAAAGAGAAAUAUGCAUGUUCAAAAGAAGGCAUUUUUAACAGAAAACGUUAGUUCUAUACUCCAACAUAAAAUUCCUUUAAAAUGCAAAGACCCAGCCUCCCCCACUAUCUCAUGUAGUAUAGGAAACCACACAAUUGAGAAUGCUUUGUUGGAUUUAGGAGCUAGUGUAAAUCUGUUGCCUUAUUUAGUAUUCGUGAAACUUGGACUGGGAGAAUUACACCCAACUCCAGUAGUGUUACAGCUUGCAAAUCGGUCCACGAAAAUACCUCGUGGUAUUUUGGAGAACGUGCUUAUCCAGGUAGACAAGUUUUAUUUUCCUGUUGAUUUCAUUGUAAUUGACACUCAACCAAUACAGGAUUCAAGGAAGCACAUUCCCAUUAUCCUAGGCCGACCUUUCUUGGCAACUGCAGAUGCUCACAUUCAAUGCAGGACUGAAAAUAUGCAGUUGUCCUUCGGCAACAUGACUAUGGAGCUGAACAUCUUCAACAUUGCCAAACAACCUCACAAUGCAGAUGAUUGAAUUGUUGAUGUGGAUUUAAUUGAAACAAUAGUUGAUAACACUUUUCUUUCAAACAUUAGUGAUGAUCCUUUACAAACAUGUUUAACUCACUUUGGUUUGGAUUUUGAUAUUGACAGAUCGGUCGAUGAGGUCAACGCCCUACUUGACUCAGCACCAUCCAUGGACACCAAUAAAUGGAAGUCAAUAGUUGAACAACUAGCACCAUCAGAGAAGAAACUCAUCCCAUCAUCAGAAUCACCACCGAAACUCGAGCUCAAACCAUUACCCAACACUCUGGAAUAUGCAUUUUUGGGAGAAGAAAGUACUUUGCCGGUAAUCAUCUCAUCAUCCCUAAAUGACGAACAAAAAGGUAAGUUGUUGGAUGUUUUAAAAGAGCACAAAGGAGCAUUAGGAUGGAUCAUAGCAGACAUUAAAGGUUUAAACCCAGUAGACUGCAUCCAUUACAUUCACCUUGAUGAAAAUGCUAAAACUACUAGGGAGAUGCAAUGUCGGUUAAAUCCUAACAUGAAAGAAGUUGUUAGAACUGAAGUCCUUAAACUAUUAGAUGCAAGUAUCAUUUAUCCAAUUUCUGAUAGUUCAUGGGUCAGUCCUGUGCAAGUUGUCCCCAAAAAGUCAGGAGUCACAGUAGUUACGAAUGCUGAUAAUGAAUUGAUACCCACUAGAGUAACUACAGGAUGACGUGUAUGCAUUGAUUAUAGAAAGUUGAAUUCUGUCACACGUAAAGACCAUUUUCCUUUACCAUUUAUUGAUCAAAUGCUUGAUAGAUUAGCAGGCCAUGAAUUUUAUUGCUUUCUAGAUGGCUACUCAGGAUAUAAUCAGAUUCCCAUAGCACCAAAAGAUCAGGAGAAAACUACUUUCACUUGCCCUUUUGGCACAUUUGCAUAUAGGAGAAUGCCAUUUGGAUUAUGUAAUGCACAUGCUACAUUUCAACGAUGCAUGUUGAGCAUUUUUUCUGAUAUGGUUGAACGAUUCCUUGAAGUCUUUAUGGAUGACUUUUCUGUCUUUGGUGAUUCGUUUGAUCAAUGUUUACAUCAUCUAACACUAGUUCUGUAGAGAUGUAUCGAGAAGAACUUGGUCUUAAAUUGGGAGAAAUGUCAUUUUAUGGUAAAACAAGGUAUUGUUCUCAGUCACAUCAUUUCGAGCAAAGGUAUUGAGGUUGACAAAGCCAAGGUGGAUCUCAUUUCUAAUCUUCCUCCACCCAAAACAGUCAGAGAAGUAAGAUCUUUCCUUGGGCAUGCUGGUUUCUAUAGACGUUUCAUUAAAGAUUUUAGCAAAGUUUCUAGACCCUUAUGCAAUCUACUUGCUAAGGAUGUACCUUUUAUCUUUACUGAUUCAUGUCUUAUGGCGUUUGAAAAACUAAAGUAAUUGUUGACAUCAUCACCCAUCAUUCAGGCCCCGAACUGGAGCUUACCAUUUGAACUCAUGUGUGAUGCAUCUGAUUAUGCAGUAAGAGCAGUAUUAGGACAAAGAGUUGAUCGAAUUCCCCAUGUUAUUUAUUAUGCUAAUAUGACAUUGAAUGAUGCACAGUUGAACUAUUCAACUACUGAAAAAGAAAUGCUAACAGUAGUGUUUGCAUUGGAAAAAUUUCGAUCUUAUCUCAUUGGUUGUAAAAUAAUUGUGUUCACAGAUCAUGCUGCUCUUAAAUAUCUUCUCACAAAGAAAGAUGCAAAAGCUAGACUAAUUCGUUGGGUGUUACUUUUGCAGGAAUUUGACUUGGAAUUCAAAGAUAAGAAAGGGACAGAAAAUGUUGUGGCAGAUCACCUCUCUCAGCUCCAUUUUGACACAAUUACAGAGCCAUUAAUAUUGAAUGAGUCAUUUCCAGAUGAACAAUUAAUGAGUGUGGAAGUAUUACCUUGGUAUGCUGAUAUAGUUAAUUAUCUUGUUACAAGUAAACUUCCAGAGCAUUGGACCAAGUAAGACAAGGCUAAAUUCUUUGCAGAGAUAAAGAAUUUCUUUUGGGAUGACCCGUAUUUGUUCAAGUAUUGUGCAGACCAAAUUGUUAGACGAUGUGUCCCAGAAAAUGAAAUUCAUAAUAUUCUUUCAUUCUACCAUGAACAAGCUUGUGGAGGCAAUUUCAGUGCUAAGAAAACAGCAACUAAAGUUUUACAAUGUGGUUUCUAUUGGCCAACUAUAUUUCGAGACGCUUACACUUUCUGUUCUUCAUGUGAUAGGUGUCAACGAAUGGGGAGCAUUACAUGAAGGAACAUGAUGCCACUAAAUCCAAUUUUAGUGGUUGAGAUUUUUUAUGUAUGGGGUAUGGACUUCAUGGGACCCUUUCCCCCUUUUUUUGGCCAUCAAUACAUAUUGGUUGUUGUUGACUACGUAUCGAAAUGGGUAGAAGCAAUUCCAUGUAGGACCAAUGAUCACAAGGUGGUGAUAGCAUUUUUGAAAAGCAAUAUUAUCUCACGCUUUGGAUUCCCUCGAGGAAUAAUCAGUGAUGGUGGUGCCCACUUUUGUAACAAAGCAUUCAAAGUUCUUUUGACAAAGUAUUCAAUCACACACAAAGUACCGACUCCGUAUCAUUCGCAAACCAGUGGCCAAGUUAAGAUAUCCAAUCGAGAAAUAAAGCACAUAUUAGAAAAAACGGUGAGGCCAGACAGGAAAGAUUGGUCAUUAAGACUUGAUGAUGCAUUAUGGGCAUAUAGAACGGCUUUCAAGAUCCCGAUUGGGAUGUCACCCUACAGGCUAGUGUAUGGAAAAGCUUGCCACCUACCUGUGGAACUCGAGCAUCGUGCAUAUUGGGCCAUCAAGAAAUUUAAUUUUGACAUGCAGCAAGCCAGCUCAGAAAGAAGAUUACAGUUGGCAGAACUUGAAGAAAUUCGCAAUGAUGCAUACGAAAAUGCCAAGAUUUACAAGCAACGAAUGAAAGUCUUCCAUGAUAAGCAAAUUAUGAGAAAAUCGUUCACUCCAGGUCAGAAAGUGCUUUUAUUCAAUUCUCGCUUGCACCUAUUCCCAGGUAAGUUACGCUCUUGUUGGUCUUGCCCAUUUAUUGUUCAUACUGUUUUUCCACAUGGGGCAGCUGAAAUUAAGGACCCAAAGAACGGUGUCACGUUUAAAGUUAAUGGUCAAAGAUUAAAGCCAUAUUUAGAAUACCAACCACAUGGAGAAGACAUCGAAAUAAAUUUGAGUGACCCACCAAAUUUGAAUUGAUUUUUUUUUUUCGGUGAUUUGAUUUUUUUCUUUCUUUCUUUAUAUUAUUCUUUUGCUAAUUGAAAUUAUUUUUGCAUAAGUGUGUUUGUUUAACUAUUAAGUUUUCUCUUAUCAUUUUUUAUCAUGAGUACCUUACUUAGACCGUUCCUCCUGAACAUUCUUAAACCACUUCAACGUGUCAAAACUCAUCUCAAAAGGCAGAUUUAAUUUUGUAAAACACAUCGUAUUUGGGCUCUACAACCACCAGAGUUAGUAGCCUAUGUUGAGGGUUUAGAAAGCCAACUCAAAGACAUUGAGAGAAGUGUUUACGACAUCCAGUUGGAGCUUGAGGUAAAUUCAAUAAGAGGACGAUUUUAAUUUUCUUUGUGUGUUUUAAUUUGUUUUUCUGUUUGUGUGCUUUAGUUUGUUACCCCAGUGAAGUGGCGGAUAACGGUACUCCGUGACAAUCAAGUCGGUUACUUCAGUUUCCCAUAAUAACUGAUAUUCUGAGGCGAAGGUAUGGACAGAAACGAGAUUCUAGCGAAGCUUCACAAGCGAUUCCCUUCACUUCCUCAUAAUGCCCUCCUUACGAUCUAUAAAGCUCGGUCCGAACGCAUGCGAUUACUCAUGAGCAAUAACAUACCUGCUGAUAUCCGUUGGUUAAUUGAGGCGAAAGUACGAUUGGCAGGUGAGUUACCUCCAAAAUUUAUUGCAUACAUGCCUGGUUGUGGUAAAAAAACUUAUGCAAGAAAACGACGAGCUCGAAGAAUUUCUGUUGCUUGUCAUAAGUGUGCCAGAAUGAGUUGCAAUAAAAAUCCAUGUUCUUUAGGAAUGGUGUCUGAUAACAGGGAAGAUAAGAUUCAAUUCAUUAGGGAUGACUUGAAUAAGGAGUCAUUGGAUGAUAUCCUUUUGUCUCUUGAAACGCAUCCCAGUGGAUAUGUGCAAGGAGCGAUUCUCCAAUUAUGGCCAUUAUUCCAGAAAGAGCAUGCACGAUAUAGUCUCGGGAAUCUGACUAUAAAUGACCCUAUUUGCCAGUUUAUAAGAAAACUGGAUAGGACGCCUAUCCUCGACCCAUAGAGGGCGUUCAAGCCGUUUCUAGACGUAAAACCAUAGGAAGAUGUGAGCCACAGUCGCAACUACCUGUAAAUAUCCUUUCACUUUACUAUUAUUUUUUUUCACUAUUGUUUUAUUGUGUGUAUUAUUGUCUUUAAUAAUUUUAUUACUGUUUGCUUUUUUCUUAUUACUGUUUGUUUUUUUCUUAUUACUGUUUGCUUUUUUCUUAUUACUGUUUGCUUUUUUCUUUUUACUGUUUCCUUUUUGACUCGCGAGCCACGUGCUUUACGUGUUAUUUGACACUGACAUGUUACCUCAUACACAACUGUGACCCACUGUCACCAAGACUCUUAAAUGUGAUUUUGUUUUUGUCAAGCACUCACAAGUUGUUUUUUGAGAAGUAUCACAAUGGCAGCUACUCCAAAUAGACAAUUCAAGAACAUUUGUGUGCUUUCUGGAUUUACCUAUGGCAAACAUAAAGAGUUUGUUAAGACAGCCAUCGAUCUUGGUUGAAGUAUAGCAGAGAGAAAAUUACACUUGGUGUAUGGAGGAGGUAACCAAGGGUUAUCAAAAAUGGUCUCAGAAGCAGCUUUUGUUAGAGGAAGUCAAGUGUUAGGCAUCAUCCCCAGAGUCUUAAAACCAUUGGGCAGUUCAUCUGACUCAUCAACUGGAGAAGAGUUAGUCGUCUCAGGUAUGCAAGAAAGAAUAACUGAAAUGCUUAAUCAUGCUGAUGCUUUUAUUUUUCUUCCAGAAGAUCUUGCAACACUAGAGGCACUUAUCACACUAGCAUCUUAGGUCCAUCUGCACAUCCACCAGAAACCCAUCGGUUUGUUAAAUGUCAAUAACUUUUAUGAUGGCUUUAUCAUAUUUCUUAAGCAUGCAAUAAAAAACUAUUUCAUUCCUUCUAAUGUGAAAAAACUUUUUAUUUGUGCUCAUACUGCUAAUGAGCUACUUGAUCUGUUACAAGCUUAUAAACCGGAGCCAGACCCCUAGACCUUUGUGUUGGAGCGCCCAAAUAAUGAUGGUAACAGUAGCCGCAGUAAGAAGUAUAAAUUAGAUUUAACUCUCCGCUUGUAAAUAUUUUUUUUUGUGUUGCACCACCCAGGUGAUGUCUUCUAAACUCUACUUCUUUCCUUUCAAACAUUGAGGACAAUGUUUCGUUUUGGUUGGGGGGAGGGAAUGAUUGACAAUUGUGGAAGUUUGGUUAAGUUUUUACUAAUUUUUUGUUGUAGAAACUAACUAUUGCUAAUUUUUUGUGUUGAAGAUGGCUGAAUAUGGAGGGCAGUGACUCUAGAAACACAUCUUCAUUGUUUAAAAAAAAAUUAAAAAAAAUUUCUUUUUCUUUAUUAAGUUUUGAUGUUUAUUUUUCUUCUUCUUUUUUUCUCCUCUAUAAAUAUACAUUUUCCAACUUUUGAGUCGAAGAUGGCUGAAUAUAGAGUGUAGUUCCUCUAGAAACGCAUCUUCUUUAAAAAAAAAAAUCAUUUUCGUUUUCUAUCAUUUUACGUGUAACUUUUCUAAUUAGUUUUUAUGCAUCAUUUUCACAUUUCUGCAUGCAUAUUUUCCUUUCAUGCUUAGAAUAGGUUGGGGGUAGAAUGUUGUUUGAAAAAAAAAAUUGUGUGAUUUGUUUUAACAUUGGAUGACAUGAUUAAUUUCAAAUUUUAGUAUUUGUAUUAUCUUUGGUCUUAAGCGAUGUUACAUUAUGUUUGCUACUCUAUAUAUUGAUGUCGGAGACAAAUAUGAGUUGCUUGAAGGAAUGAACAUGUCAUAAUAAGUACCAAGUGAGUUUUUGAGCCUAUCAUUUUUCUUGGAGAGUAAAUCUUUUGCCCAUUCUUUAUACAGCUUAACAGUUUAUUAUUGUAUACACGAUCUCUAGAUUUCUUUUGAGUUAACCCUUAAAAAAAUUGUAAAAUAAAAAAAAAGAAAAAAAAUGUGUGUUGCUACAUUUGGAGGCCCAUCUAACUAGUAGAUAUGGAUGAUUAUUUAGAGCCCUAAAAGACGAUGGAAAGGCCAUCUUUGAUCCGUUUGAGCCUUUCUAGCCAUCCAUUUUAUUAAAUAUCCAUAGUUAACCCUCUUUGUCAACUUAUCAUCUUGACCCACUCCGAUUUAGAGUAUUACCUGAUGUCUUAUAAGUUCCAUCACCUAUUUAUGUUUAAGAAAAUGUAAAUAAUUAUUUUAUUUAGUGAUGUUGUGCCAAGAAAAAGCAAAAAAAAUAAAUAAAUAAAUAAAUUCAAAAAAAACUAAAUAAUAAUAACAAUAAUAGGUGAAAUCCACCUUGCAACUUCCAAAAAAAAAGAAAUUUCCUCUGCAUUUUUCUCAAACAUACACUUUGUUUUCCUUAUUUCCCUUCUUUGUUAACCAUGUCCCUAGCCUACGUUACAUCCUAAUAAAAGUCCUUCCUGAUUUUAGGGAACUAUAAUCUGAAGUAGAAGCUAGUUAUGUGGGCUAAAAAGAUGUAGUGGUGCAUAAUAAAAAUAAAUAAAAGAAAAAAAAAAGAUAAAUAAAUUGGGUUGACUAGCAUUUUUAUUUGACUUGAGAUCUAUUAUUUCUAAGCUGAGGGCAUAUUUAUUUCAUCUUGGUGAGAGCAUGUGAUAUCACUUCUUUAUUAUUUUCUCUCUCAAUUACCAUUCAUUGGAGUGACUAUUUUUAUUGGUUUUAAUUUCUUUGUGAGAGUGUCACUACUUCCAGUGAGAUUUUGGGGUUUGACAUGUCAUUAUUGAAAGUAGCUAUAACAAAGUCUACUGGGUUGAUUCAUGUGGAUGGUUGAUGUGGGUGUGAUGUUGCUUUAGACUGGAGAUAAUGCUUAUACUUUUAUUUGAUUACUAUCAUUAAUCUGAUGGAAUAAAUAUGAGUGUUUCUAUUUAAAAAAAAAUAUUUUGAAUUUGAAUUUUGUUUUCGCUUUAUUUGCUAGGGACUAGCAAUAAGCUAGUUGGGGGGUGUGUUGAGUGUUAGAAAAGGCAUAUUUAUAAAGGAGAAAACCGUCAUUUUACAUUUCAAGUCUUACUAACAACCUUUACUUUUAUGUAUUUAACCUUCUUGUGAUUUGAUUACAUGUGUUUUAUUUUAAUUAAGUAUUUUAUGUAUUUUAGGGGCAUUAUAGUCAUUUCAUAAUAAAGGAGAGAUCAGACGGCAAAACGGAUAUCACUUUUGAACUCAGGACGGUCGAAAACCUUAGGAGUAGCAUAAAAGGAAAAAUAGCACUAUUCACAUGUACGGUACUAUUCACGUGUACGGUACUGUCUACGUUACUGUUCAUGACAUUGUUCACAUAGACGGAUCGAUGACGUGGCAUUGACCGAUGAUGUGGCAUUGACUGAUGAGGUGUCACGAUCCUGUUGGGCUAAAAUUCUUAUGUACUGUUGAUGGUGACGUGGCAGCAUAUCAGUGGAAGAAAAAUCUCGCGUACGGUACAUGCCUCACACAAGAUUAUUUUCAACCAAACCGCGUUACUGUUCAUCCAGGUCAAACUGUGUUACUGUUCAUCCGCGUGGUCAAACCACGUACUGUUGACUGAUGACGUGGCGCAAUCUUGAGCGUCCAAACUGUUUUUAAUUCGAUGGCCAUGAUUUACUCCAUGUAUCUAUAAAAACGGGGCCUCCCCCCCUAAUUUGAUAUCUCUGAAUCCAUUUUUGGGAUCCAUUUUCUGUAAUUUCUUCUCCAUCUUGUAUUUUCUUCAUAUUUUAAUAAAUUUCCAUUUUGCCCCUAGUUCAAUUAUGAGUAGCUAAUUUUCUUUCAAGCUUGGGUUGAAGGUGAAGUCUCAACAUGUGUCAUGGGCUUAAUUUGGUAAAUUUAUUUUCUCUUCCCCUCUAGUUUUUUUGGAUAUUUUGACUUCUCAUCAACAAAUAAUACUAAUCUUGUCUAGUACCGCAUUGGUUUCACCGGCCCUCUAGUACAAGGUUAUUAUAUUUGUCACGAUAAGCCCUUAGCACCAUAUUGAUUAGAGCGUGGUUCAUGAGGUGUGGAUUCCCCCCUCAUGAUUUAAUUGGCAUUAAUACGGAUUAUUUAGCUCAUGAUGCAUGUUGAUACGGAUCCAGAUACCCAAGUACGUCAUUUCAAUAGAUUUCGUUUCAAUUUAUUCUCGCCAUUGCAAUUCCAAUUUUAGAAUUUAUUAUCGCCAUCUCAAUUCCAAUUUUAGGAUAAUUUAAAUCACUUCCUCCACAAUUUCAACCACCCAUUUACAAAAUUAAUUUUACAUAUAAUUAAAAUCCACCUCCUCGUAGGAUCAACACUCGUCACCAUUGAUCUAUACUACAAUAGAUUCGUGCGCUUGCGAGUACAUUAAAAUUUGCACAACAACUAUAAUUACUACUUCAGCAACUUUAACCAAAUUACUGAGGUAUCUUGUGUUUAUUACAGAGAAGGGCAUUUAUUCGACAAUGGUCUUGGAAAUCCUGCUUCAGUCAACUAUGUGGGCAUCUACAACAGACAGAACUACAAUAAUCCUUAUUCAAACACUUAAAAAAUUGGAUAGAGACAUCACCAAAACUUCUCAUAGAGCAAUCAUAAUCAACAUACUGUCGUACCCAGUGGACAAAACAUGCCUGCUCAACCACCUAGAUUUCACCAGUAAAAUCAGGGGAUGGAGAAUGGAGCGGUUGUCCAAAGCCAAGUUGUAUCCUUAAGAAACUUAAAAAAUCAGAUUGGACAGCUUACCACAGCACUAAGCAACAGACCUCAGGGCAUUUUACCUAGCAAUACAGAGGAUCCAAGAAGAAAAGGAAAAGAACAUUGCAAAGUGAUUAAUUUAAGAUUUAGAAAAGAUGUUCAUAUUCCAAUUAGUGUACUAAAAAGAAGAGUUAACCCAUUGUAACCCAAGAAGAAACUCAACUUAAAACGGAGCCACAACCUCCUACUUUCCAGCACAUUAGUGUAAAUAGCCAAGCUACAACAUCGGUAAAAAAUGAUGCUCCAGCAUGUGUUGGUGAGGAUGCUGCAACACCACCCACAUUAGUCCAAAACAUGGCAAAAGAGAAGCAAUCUGUACAACCUGCUAUAGCACAACAGUUUAGACACCCGCCAUAUUUUUCUCAAAGAAUCUAGAAACAAAAACAAGAUAAAUAAUUCAAUAAAUUCUUAGAAGUGUUCAAGCAGCUACAUAUCAAUAUUCCUUUUGUGGAAACCUUAAAACAAAUGCCAAAUUAUGUGAAGUUCUUGAAGGAUAUUUUGGCAAGGAAAAGAAUGCUUAGAGAGUUUGAAACAGUUGCUUUAAUACAAGAAUGCAGCUAUAUGCUUCAUAACGAGAUACCUCAGAAGCUGAAGGAUUCAGGAAGCUUUACAAUCCCAUGCUCUAUAUGAACUAAAUACAAUGACAAGGCGUUUUAUGAUUUGGAAGUUAGCAUCAAUCCCAUACCUCUAUUAGUGUUCAAGCAAUUGGGAGUUGGAGAAGUUAAAUUAACAACAAUGACUUUACAACUUGUUGACAUAUCUCAUGCCUAUUCAAAAGGCAAGAUUGAAGGUGUAUUGGUGAAAGUGGAUAAAUUUAUUUUCCAGUAGAUCUUAUAGUGCUGGACUUUGAGACAGAUAAAGAAGUACCAAUAAUUUUAGUCAGACCCUUCUUAGCCAUAGUUAAGACCCUAAUAGAUGUACAAAAAUGAAAAUUGACUAUGUGGGUUAAUGAUUAGUAAAUUACACUCAAUGUGCUAGAUGCCAUGAAGAGUAUUGAUGAUGUUGAAGACUGUAAUUUUAUCAGUGUUAUAGAUUUUACUGGAGUAGAGAGAUUAAACAGAUACUGCAGUAACGAAGAAAUCAAGACUGUAACAUUUGAAGAACUUGAAGAAGAAGAUCUUGAAACAGCUGACAUAGUAUCAUUAGGAGAGAAGUAACCCGGAAGAACUUACGAGCACUUUAAAUCUUUAAAUCUUUCAAACGCGGAAGUAAAGUCUUCUAUUCCCUCUGUUGAAUCAUCUCCUAUUUUAUAAUUAAAACUUUUACCUUCACAUUUGAAGUAUGUUUACCUUGGUGACAAUGACACACUUCCUAUAAUCAUUUCAUCUUCUUUGAUUACAGAACAAGAGAAGAGCUUGGUGGAUGUAUUAGGGAGAUACAAUAAGGCCAUCAAACGGACUGUGGCAAAUAUCAAAUGAAUCAGCCCAUCCAUAUACAAGCAUAAGAUUUUCCUAGAGGAUUACUACAAUAACUUAGUAGAGCAACAGAGAAGAUAAAAUCCCAUCAUGAAAGAAGUUGUGAAGGAAAAGAUCAUCAAGUGGCUUGAUGUUGGAAUUAUUUACCCAAUAUCAAAUAGCUCAUGAGUAAGCCCAGUACAAUGUGUUCCAAAGAAAGGUGGAGUAAUAGUCAUAGCAAAUGAAAAGCAUGAGUUUAUUCCUACAAGAACAGUAACUAGAUGAAGAGUUUACAUAGAUUAUAAAAAGUUAAAUAAAGCCACCAGGAAAGAUCACUUUUCAUUGCCUUUCAUAUAUCAGAUGCUGGACAGACUUGCUAGAAAAGAGUACUACAACCAGAUUGCUAGCACUAGAGGAUCAUGAGAAGACAAUAUUCACUUGUCCCUACAGAACCUUUGCCUUUAGAAGGAUGUUAUUUGGCCUGUGCAAUGCUCCAACAAUUUUUCAAAAGUGUAUGAUGUUAAUUUUUUCAGAUAUGGUUGAGCAAACACUUGUAGUAUUCAUGGAUAAUUUUUUUGUUCUUGGGGAAUCACAUGAUGUCUGUUUGCAUAAUGUAGAAAAUAUGUUUAAGAGAUGUGAAGAGACAAACUUAGUGUUGAAGUACGAAAAGUGCCAUUUCAUGUUACAAGAAGGGAUAGUUCUAGGCCACAAGGUCUCUAGAAAGGGAAUAAAGCCGGAUAAUACAAAAAUAGGGUGAUUAAUAAACUUCCACCACCUACUUCAGUCAAGGGCAUAAGGAGUUUCUUAGGACAUGCUGGGUUUUAUAGAAAGUUUAUUAAGGAUUUUUUUCAAAAUAUCCAAACCUUUGUACAUGUUGCUGGAGCAUGAUAGACCCUUUAAUUUUGAUGAGAAUUGCCUAAAGGCCUUUGUUGAGUUGAAGAAAGUCCUUGUUACAGCACCAGUUGUUGUAGCACCUGAUUGGAGUAUGCCUUUUGAAUUGAUGUGUGAUGCUAAUGACCACUUUGUUGGAGCAUUGCUAGGGCAAAGGCAAGAUUUUUCACUCUAUUUGUUAUACUAGUAAGACCCUAACUGAUGCACAACUCAAUUAUACUACCACAAAAAAAGAGUUGUUGGUAGUUGUUUAUGCAUUUGAUAAAUUCAAAACUUAUUUGGUUGGCACCAAAGUGACUGUUUAUACGGAUCACUCAGUUAUAAAGUACUUGAUUUCAAAGAAAGAUGUCAAACCAAGGUUGAUUAGGUGGAUUCUUUUACUACAAGAGUUUGAUCUAGAGAUCAAAGAUAGAAAAUGAAAAAAAAAGUAGAUCAUCUCUCAAGGUUGGAAGCAGAUGCAUGCAUUUUAACUAAGCAAGAUGUAACAGAAAAAUUUCUUGAUAAGUAUUUGCUAAUAAUAGAGCAUGCACAAAUGUUGCAACAAGCUGGUUUUCCAUGGUAUGCAUAUUUUACUAAUUAUUUAAUGAGUGGAUUACUACUGUCAGAUUUGAGCUACCAGCAGAAGAAAAGAUUUCUCCAUGAUGUCAGAAGCUAUCAGUAGGAUGAUCCCUACUUGUACAAGAUGUGUUCAGACCAUGUGAUCAGAAGAUGUGUUUCUGACGAAGAAAUUUCAAACAUUCUACAGUCCUGUCAUGCUGUCGCAUAUGGUGGACAUUUUGAAGGACAUAGAAUAACAACAAAAGUUCUUCAAUUAAGUUAUUACUGGCCCUCUAUUUUUAGAGAUGCUUAUGAAUUUGUUAAAUGUUAUGACAUGUGCAAAAGAAUAGGGAACAUGAAAUGCCACUGAUCAACAUCUUAGAGGUAUGGGGAAUAGAUUUUAUGGGACCAUUUCCAUCCUCUUUUAGCAUCUUAUACAUCUUAAUUGUUAUGGACUAUGUAUCCAAGUGGGUAGAAGCAGCAACAUUGUUCACAAAUGAUGCCAAAGAAAUGGUAAAGUUCAUUCAGAAGAAUCUUUUCUCGAGAUUUGGCACUCCUAGAGCUAUUGUUAAUGAUGAAGUGUUAGCCUAAAGAGCUACAAAUAAUGUAAUUUUGAUGAUAACAAACAUGUGUCUUAAGUGAUUCAAUAAAUAUUGUAUUUCACAAGUUUAUUAGUUCUUGAAAGAUAAUGUUUAUACAAGUGAAUAAAGUGAAAUCAAGUUCAAGACACUCAAUAGACAACGGCGCAAUCAAGAAUAAAGUUUAGAGCUUAACGGACUAAUUAUUGCGACAAAUUCUAGUAAAGCUGAUAUGAUUUAAUUGAUACAUGGUUUAACAUUUGAGAAGCUCAAUAUUUUAUUUAAAUCAUUACUUUUCAUAAACUAAAAGGUUUUAUAUUUAUAAGAUAAAGUAUUUUGUGGAUUUGAGUAAUUUGAACUAAAAUAAAAAAGUUUUGCCAUCUUUGAUUUUAAUAAGUAUUUUUUUGAAUUCUGGAUUUGGACUUGUUUACAAUCAUUUGAAACGAUUUGGGCCAUACCAUAAUUUAUAAACGUUUGAGGACCCGAAUGAAAAUAUCCAAAAAUGGACAGAGAGUUAGCGGCUAACCACCUGAGGGCUAGUGGCUAAUCGCCUGAGGAAAAUUUGAUAUUUUCCAAUGUUGGACUAAAUUGUAAAGGGUUUGAGAAUUUUGAAAUUCAUAAGUAUUUGUUAAAGUUUGAAAAGAACUUUUUAAAAAAAUAUUAUUAUAUUUUGGGCCAUAUCACAAUUUUAAAAAGUUUUAGGAAUAACAAGUAUUAUUUGGAAAUUCUGAAAUUGGACCUGUUUGAAAAGUUUUAUGACAUUUUAGGCCACAGUAUAAUUACAUAACGUUUUGGGCACAAAUGUAAUUUUGUGAAUAAUAAUACUAUAGCCAGGUGAGCUUAGAGGCAUGGACAUAGGUGGGAGUUAGGAUUGGCAAAAAAGCCUAGGUCGGCCCAAGCCCGUGACAGCCCAGCCCACGCCCGCUGGCUUUAGGUCCAGCCCACGACUUAAAGUUAAGGACAAGGGCACUCACGUGGUGACUUAAGCCUGGGCUUUAUAAUAUAAUGCAUACAUAUAUUUUUUAAGAAAUAAAUUAUAAUAUAUUAAAAAUUUUAAAUUGAAAAAAAAAACUAAGAAAUAAAAAAAGGUCGAGAUUAAGUAAUUAACAAAAAACAAAACGAAACUAAAUUCUCAAAACCUAAAAUCUCUAAAUUUAUCUCUACAUCUCCAGCCGUUGCAUCAGCCUCUCACUACACUCUCCGUCGACAGCCAACAACUGAUGUUUACUGCCUUACCCUCACACCGAAUUAAGGAGCCACCACCGUCAGUAGCAAUCCACCAUCCACGCGCGAGGCAGUAGAUCCAGCAACCCAGCAGCAGUGCAACACCAAACGGGCGACGCAACAGCGAGCCACACCCACCAGCACCACCAGCGCGAUGUAGCUGCAGCCAAUCGAACGCGCGCGAUGCAGCAGCAGUGAUCUCAGCUCCAACACGACCCAAAACCAGCAGCACCAGCAACGCAAGCGAACCAACAAUAAACCAUCACCAACUCCACCCCAAGUAAGCUUUGAUUUUUUUUAAUUAUUGUCGAAAUUCUGAGAUUACUGAAGCCAUUGUUGAUGUUGUAAUGGAGAGUAGUUUUGUGGAAGAAUAGAGAGAGAGAGUGAAGAAGAAGAAGAAGAAUGUUUCAUUGUUGUCAUAGCAAGUGGAUAAUGAAGAAGAAGCACUGUGUUUCAGUUUCAACCAUAAAUUCUUUUAAAAAUUAUUAAAGGGUAUUUAACAUUUACCUAGUUUAUCGUAUUUUAUCUCUUGUAAUUUGCAUAUUUUUAUUUGAUAGGCACUUUCUCUACUUUGUCAUCAAAAUUAAGCAAAAUUUUCACUUAUAUGUAAUUAUUAUUUUUUUAUGAGAUUUGGUGGAUAAUUGAUACGCUGUAGGAAAAGUUUCUAUCUAUAAAUGAAAAUGCCAGUAGCUUUCAGUCAAUAAAAAAGAAAUUAAAGUAAAAUUUUAUUAAAUUAUUAAAAGUCCAAGCCCUGUCCUGGUCCAGCCCAGGCCCGCGCAAGCCCGGGCCAAGCCUGCAAUUUUCCAACCCUAACGGAAGUUGCCGAACCACGUAAAAAUCAUUGUGUUUGCUCUCUCUUCCCUUAUUCUUUUAUUAUUGUAAUUUAUUGAAUUUAUUGUUUUUUGUUUCAUUAAGGGAAUAGAUUGAAUUGUUGUGUGUUUUGUUUAUCUUAAGUUUUAAAAUCUCAAUUCACCUCCCUCUUGGAUUGCCUAGUUAGUAUUUCAAAAGGAACCCUUUUUGUCAACAGGAUGAUUGCUGUAGCAUUGGCUAAGUAUGAAAUCAAGCAUAAGGUUGCUACAGUAUAUUAUCCACAAACAAGUGGUCAGGCAGAAGUGUCUAAUAAAGAGUUAAAAAAAUUCUAAACAAAGUGAUGAAUCUACUAAAAAUGAUUGGCCUAUUAGACUAAAUGACUCCUUAUAGGCUUAUCGAACUUACAAAACCUCACUUGGCAUGUCUCCAUACAAAAUUAUUCAUGAUAAAGCUUGUCAUUUGCCAUUAGAGCUGGAGAACAAAACAUAUUGGGCAGUUAAAUAACUGAACAUGGAUAUGAUAGUUGCAGCAGAGCAGAGGAAGCUACAACUUUAUGAGUUAGACGAGUUGCAGUUAUUCUCCUAUGAAAAAUGCAAGAAUCUACAAGAAGAGGACUAAGCAAUGACAUGACAAGCAGAUAAAAAAAAAAGAGCUUACUCCAGGCUACCAAGUCUUGCUCUACAACUCGCGAUUAAAACUCUUCUAAGCAACACGAUGGUCAGGACCUUUCAAACUUAUGAAGAUUUAUCCUCACGGGGAUUAUGAACUUCAAGAUGAAAGGACAGGUCAAGAAUUAAAGGUGAAUGGACAAAGAAUAAAACAUUACAUUAGAGCUACUAUGAACAAUCCAAGGAAGGAUAUGUUCUUAAAGGAUCCAGCUUAAGCAAUCGGGGAUGGUAAGGCUGAAGAACCUAAAAUCAAGUGCUGAUCGUCAGGCGACUCAAUAAAGGAAGUUAUUUCCAAUUUUUAAAGCUCUAAAUUUAGUCUUGAAUAUUGUUUAAUAUUCCUUUUUGUUAUUUUAAAUUAUGCAUCCAACUUCUUUAUUUUCUUGUCAUUAAAUUGCAGUAAGAAAAGUGGAUAAAAGAAUUCUUAAAUGCAAAAAAAAAAUGCUGCAAAAUCACUCACAACAAGGCAAACAAAAGAUGCUUCUCAAACAACAUAUGCAUUUACCAUUAUUUCUGUAGCAACAGAUUGGUUAUUACAGCAAUGAUUUUUACCGUUGCAUUGUCAGUCUUAAUUUUUACCAUUGGUGGCUGACACGCUUAUGUCAGGAGAUCAUUAUUUUUGACAAGAAAGAUAGUGCAAUCCCUGAUUUUUCGUGACAUGUAUCUCUUUCUUUCCAUUAAUUUUUUUUUUAAAUUCAAAAUUUUCCAAACUUAUCAUUUUAAUUACCUCUCUUUUUCCACUUUCUUUUUAUUAUAAAUUCGGGUUUUACUUCCACCAUUUCAAUUUCAUUAUCACUUUCUCUCUUUCUGUCUGUAAUUCUUUGUAUCUUAAUAUUUCUUUCCCAUGUUUUUAUUUUUUCAACACAACAAAACUCAUUUUGAAUUGUUGCAACAUACCUAACAUCGAAGCCCGUGCUGGUAGAUUGAAAGAUCCUAAGCGUUUCUACUACUUUAAAGCCGAGAAAAAAUAUGAAGAAUUUAUCGAACCUAAAAAAAUUUUAGAAGAAAAGGGUUUCCAAUUUCCAAGACAGCCAACUGGGACGAUAAACAACAUGCACACUGCUGCAGUACGAAGAUAUUGGAUCAAGUUCUAUGCUCAUCGCCGAGACCUAGUACUCCCAAUUGUUAAGGAGAUAUGCUCAAACAUAUUAUAGCAAGAGCAACAUAAUAUUUUUGUGAGGCAAGUUCAAGUCCCCUUAGAUUCUUAAGUUAUCAAUGUUUCUUAUGACUUGCCUACUGUUAUUGAUUUUGAGUAUACUACGUUUGCUAAAAAUAUGACUGUAAAGAAGUGGGGGGAAGUUUUAAAACCCUAACUACAUAAGGCAGUGAAUGGAUGAAUGAGGAAGGUAUGGUGGUUAAUAGGAUAGACUUAAAGCUUAUUGCUAAGGUGUGGGUGAAAUUAUUGAAGUCUACAUGAUGCCAACCAUACACACAACCAUAGUGUCCCAGGAUAAAUUGCUACUUGUUUAUGCUAUUGUAAAAGGUUUAGCCACAAAUGUUGAAAAAAUCAUUGAACAAGAAAUUAGAGAGUGUGCCACAAAGAAGCAAAAGUUUGUUGCCUUACUAUUUCUUUCACUUAUCACAGGUGUUUGUGAGGCCUCAAGAGUAAAAUUUAUUACAAAUGAUGGGAGAAUAAAGAAUGAAGGGGCUCUCACAGCUAGGACAAUCGAAAAGAUUGUUGGUGAAUCUACUGCUACAGCAACUCUAGUACAUCCUACUGCAACUAAAUUAGGGCAAGCUACAUGGAUUGGAAAGAUGCUGCAAGAACUCAAUAAAAGCUUGAAUGUAUGUGUCCAAGUGUAAAAGGAGGAGAGUUAGAGGUUUUGGACCCACUUACUGCAUCUUGAAGCAUAGAAACAUCAAUUUACCAUGUAUAUGAAGAGUAAACAUGCAGAUUUCCUGAAUCUCUGCUACAAUAAUUUAAUUUCCAAAGAGCUGAGGAGACUACUCCAGUAGAAGAAAAUGAAGAAGCCAAGACUGAAUGAGAGUCAGGAGAAGAUCAACAGUAAGAAAAAAGAAAAAGUUGAAGAUGAUGAAGAAGAAGAAGAAGAAGAAAGUGAAGAUGAGGAAAAAAAAAAGAACCUCCAAUUUGUGACUCCUAAAAGAAAGGGAAAAGAAAAAAUCUUAAUCGAAGAGGAGUCUGAGACUAAGGAGCAAGAAGAUGUUGAUGCAGCUAUCGAAGAGGCCAUCAACAGAGUUACAAGAUAAAAAAAAAAAAACAAAGAGGAGUAUGACAGAACUCAUUGCGAGCAUCACUGCUGAAAAAUCGGUAGCAACAACUUUUUCACCAGUUGUCAUAAAGAAAACUCCCAUAAAGUUUCAUGUCCAAACUUAAAAGCCAUCCAGCAAAAGAAAAUGGGCACAACCUUCUAGAGGUGUUGUAGCAUUGUAAGUACCAAAAGAAAUAGAACCUAAGAAAACAAAGCCAACUCUACUUAAAGUUACAGAAGUGGCUGGAACCCUCCAACCAGUUAAAUUAAAAGACAGAAAAAGAAACAAACAGUUGCUACACCACUGGGUUCACCAAAGGAGCAUUUGAGAAGUGGAUCGAAGAAGUAAUAGCCCUGCACAACAUAUGUUGCAGCAUUGCUUUCAACAAUAGGGGAGUAUCCCAUACCUGCCCAGUCUAGCUUUGUAAUUUCUAAAACUUUUCUUUUAUUUAUUUUAGCUUGUUUAUUUUGCAUUUCUUGAUUUUAAGUUUAUGCAUGAUUGUUUUUAAUUUAUUUUAAGUACAUGUGAGGACGCAGCACCUCUCAAGUUUAGAGGGCUAUAUUAUGGUGUAAUAUGUCUAUGAAUGUAUGUGUUUGUAUUGUGUGUGAAACUCUAUUUAUCUACCAUUCAUAUUUGGAUUAGAAAACCCAAUAAAGAGGAAUUAAGUGAUAAAUGUAGGAUGAAUAACUUCCAAGUAGAGAUAGUUUAUAUAUGAGGGUUGGAACUUUGUCUUAACACUUAGGCUUUGGUUGAGUUUUGUGAGUAUGCUGUAGCAAAACUACGUAAAGCAAUGUAGAAACUAUUAGCAAUCUAAAGUUAAAAAAUAUCUUAAGUUUGGGGGGAACCUGAAAUUUUUUUCAGAAUUAUCACAAACUAUGCUAGAUAUGAGAUAAAAUUAUGCUCUAAUGAUUCAGUUGCUGAGUAACUAGGGCUAAGUAUAUACCCCAUAUGCAGACUUGAGUAAAAAGGCAACAAAAGUUAUUAGUAUUGCUGCAGCAACCCAAGAAGCAAGAGAGGUCCUUUGUCUAAGAUACUGAGUAGUCAGGUUUGUUCAUGAGCCCCAUGUUUAGCUUUUAGUUAAAGGUGUCUAAAGAUAAGAGUAUGUUAUAGCGUCUUAGAUGUUUUUGUUGCAACAACUCUGAGCUAUACAUUGAUCGAGUAAUUAGGUAUCAUCAUUACAAGUGAUAGGCAUUCACAUAAAAAAUCAAUGUUACACUGAAAGGUACUUAUGGAAAUUUCUGUGGCACAGUUUGAAGCCAUUUUUUACCGUUGUUCCCCUACAAAUAGAAAUGUCUGUUGUUAUCUUUGAGUUAUACUUGAUGCUUGAGUAAUGUUACAGCAAUUUUAGAACUUGAUCAAAGUGCUACACACACACUCUGGAUAAAAUAAAACGUAAGUCUAGAACUAGAACUGCUGAUGGUGAUUUUGUAUGUUUAAGAAUGAGAUCUGAGGGUUGAUGAAUCCGAGCAAGCUAGAUGACAGAGCUAAGUUGUUUGUUGCAUAAUUGCAUAAGGACAAGUAAUGAUUUAAGUUUGAGGGCAUGAUAACUCUAUGAAAUGAGAGUUAUCAUGGCAUUUUUAGACUUAAAACUAAUAUUAUUUAGAGAGUGAAUGAUGUGUUUUAAUUGUAUUUUUAUUGUCAUUUUUGCAUGAAUAUCUAUUUAAGUUUAAUUUUAAUAAAUUGAUUGUAGCAAUUGUUGUUGUAGCAAUUGCUGUAGCAAUAUAGGAGCAAAUGAGGGCAAGACUACCUAUGUGUUAACUGACAAAGUAAUGACAAGCGGCACAAAAAGAUAUGCGAUCUGAGGUUUCCAAAAAAGAGACACGUGGCCACAUGCUUUUGGUUGCCUUAAUUCCAAGAUAUAAAAAAAGCACACAUGAAAGAAACAAAAGGUGGCCAUCACACAAAGAAACAAUAGAGAGAAAAAGAAAAAAAAUAGAACAAGAGAGAGUUCAGGGCUGCAGAAAGGGAUUUCUAAGAAAAAGAAACAGAGAUCGCAAAAACCUAAAAGAGGGACGUCUUGUAUUAUCGGAACUCAAUUUCUCACCUUUAUUUGCUUGUUUUCAUCUUUCUAUGGAAAUGUAUUUGAUGGUAAAAAUGAGUAUUGUUACUGUUUUAUUGCCUAUCAUAAACUAAACUUUGAUGUAAUUGGGUGUUAAACAAGCUUAAUGGUUAUUUGACUUAUAAAUGCGUGUUGCUUAGAAUAUGUCGUAGCAUUUUGUCUUGAUUUUACUUAUUGCAAAUCUUUAUUUCGGUUGACCACCCAUUUAGUAGAUACUAGCUAAGGAGGAGCCUCAAAAAGGCCUGACUUAGUAGAACAAAUCAAGGCAAUACAUAGUUUUAGAUUGAGUUUCCCAAGUUGAGUUAAUCUCUAUUUGAAUAGGGUCAUGCUUAAUCUAAGAUUAGUGAUGAACAACACAUAAGAAUUCACCUUGUAGGGCAAUUAAAUUUUAGAACAUAUAAUGCUAUAUCUAAUGUUAGAACUGGUCACUAUUAGAUUGCAUAUAGAUGUAAGAUAUCUAACAUGCGACAGCUGAGGAUGUAUGAGAGAUAUCUAACUGGUCACUGUUAGAUUGCAUAUAGAUGUAAAAUAUUGACAAAAUGGACUAUAAUAUUGUGUGGUGUGGUGUAUGUGGUCUAAUAGUGUUAAUUACUUAUUUUGACUUUUUCUCCAACAUUGCAUACUGCUAUAGUUCAUUUUUUACCAUUCUGUUUAAGUUUUUUCUCCAAAUAUCAGUGUUCAAUGACAAAAUAACCAAUCAAGCAUAGUUUAAUAUACAUGAUAAAUAGAAAAAGGUGGACCAAAACUCUUAUUCCUUUACAUCAAAGUACAAAUUUAUCCAACCCGAGCCGCACAAAUAAUCUGCUUCGCUUAAUAACUGCAGGCUGCCACCCGCCAAAUUUCUAACAAACAACAACCACAUCAACCUAUCCAUUCUCCUCAUCAUUAGAAAAGAGUAGUGCUGACAAAUCUUCCAUAGUUACUUUGUUGAUUUGUUUAGAUCUACAUCUUGAUCUAUCCUUUCAAGCUUUGACUCAAAAGCCUACAAAAAAUCACGGACCAACUUUUCAAGUAGUCGAUCGCUCGUUAACUCCAUCCUGUUGUUUACAUUAGCAACGUGAUGUCACAAAGCUAUGGUCGUUACCGUGAGAGUUCACCACUAGCAGCACUACUAGAGCCACCAUCAAUCCCUCUUUAUCAAACCACCAACCCAACAGCUCAUAGUCGCCAACAAAAAAGAGGUGUUUCUCUGGUCAGAGAGGGAAAAAUCCCUCUUCGGCUUUUUUUUUAAUUUAAUCUCCUAUUUAUUUUUAUGCUUUAAUUUUUCUAGUUUUCCUAUUUUAUCUUCUUUUCUUUAUGGCGGUUGUUUUUCUUAUUAUUUAUUGGGUGUUAUUUAUCUACUCCUCUUGAGAUCUUAUAUGGUCGUAAAUGGUGUCAAUGCAAAGUUCAAAUUAGAAUUGUGUUAAUGUUCGAAUCAAAGGAUGCCUAUAUUAGAGUUGAUAAAUGACUCUAAUAGUGGCACAUUGAUAUUUUGAUGACCUGUGCGAGUAAUCGAAGGCAUGGUUUAAGGACUCAUCAAGGCUUCUUAGGGAUUCUCUAGAUGGGGUGAUUAUGUUAUUGAGUUUUGCGGUUUUUUUAUUGUUUUUGUAGUUAAUAUUGUGUUAUGGUGUAUUGUGUUAUUCUUGUAUUAUUAUUUUCCUUCUCCGAUUUGGAAAAAGGGUUUCAUCUGCAUUAGUUGACAUUGACAACUGUCCAUAAAAUUCAUCAUGAUUUUAAGUAGUUUUAAUUGGUGAAAUUCUUUUUCUCCUUUUGGCUUGUAAUCAUAGUUAUUUUUAGAAUUGUAGGAAUUGUCCUAACCUAGGAUUGAGUCAUAAGCCUUAUCCGAUAUAUUGUACUUAAGCUUAGCCAUCGUGUAUUUAUGCUUGUGUGGCAUAAUAUUGUGUAUUUAAGCCCCUAUGGCAUUAAAUUGGUGACCAAUAAUUAUUGAUCCUUAGUCAAACACAUACUUUCAUUUCUAAAAUCAAAAGAUAUGUACAUGAUAAAUAAUAAUACCAACAAUAAGAGUUUGCAAGCAUGGUGUUAACAAGAAAAAACAAUAUAGUUUUACAUAGCUGGGAGUUGAAAAUUCAUAAAAGAGAAAAAUAAAACCUUUUUUGUUUUUCUGCAAGAAGUUUGUGAGCAUGAGAAAAUAUAACGCAUUACAGUUGGUAAAAUACACUUCUUUAGUCCUUAAAAAAACAUAACAUAAAGGGUCUUGUUUGGUAUGUGGUAUAGUUAUAUGGACCAGACAGUUUUUGUUUAAUCCCAAGCUUAUCCCAUGUUUGGUAAGAUCGUGGAUAAUGAUGUUAUGGUACCAUAAACCCACAAAUUCGCCCAAACUCGCCCACUAAAAACUAUUUGCUGUGGAUAAUUUUGUGAGUUACUAGUGGAUUUAGUACUAUAAAUUUAAAUCUGCUGCCAGUUGCGGGUGGAUUUGGUAUUAAUAAAAAAAUCAAGAGGGUAUUUGUUAAGUGCUGCAGAAUGCAUAUUUGCAAAGAGUAAAACCAUCAUCUUACACUCCAAGCCUCGCUAACAUUUCUACUUUUAUAUAGUUAAAUCCUUUAAGCUUUAAUGUCUCGAGAAUCUGACUAUAAAUAUCCCAGUUUGUUAGUUUACAAGAAAACUGGAUGGGAAUCCUAUCAUCGACCCAUAGAGGGCGUUCAAGUCGUUUCUGAACAUAAAACCAAAGAAAAAUAUAAGUCACAAUCACAACUACCAGUAUAUAUCCUUUUAGUUUAUAGUUCUUUUAUCAUUUGCAUUAUUACUUUUAAUAAUAUGAUUUUAUAUCUAAUCAUUGUUUGUUUCUUUUUAUUGUUUGCUUUUGACUAUUAAGCCAUGAGUUUUACACAUCAUUUGACAAAUACACCACCCUAUAUACAAUUGUAUAUCAUUAUGUCUGUCACCAUAUCUUUAAAUGCGAGUUUUUUUUUCAAACAACUCACAAAUAAUUUUAACAAUUAUUUUAAUAGAGAUAACUUUGAGCAGACAACUCAAAAAGAACAGUUAUGUCAUAGUCGCGUCAUAGCCAAAAGAAAACUACACCUGAUAUAUAGAGAAGGUGAUCAAGGGUUAUCAAAACUAGUCUUAGAAGCUGCUUUUACUAGAGGAAGUUAAGUGCUAGGCAUCAUAAAAAAAGCCCUAAAACCUUAGGGAAGCUUGUUAGGCCCACUAAUUUGAGAGGAGUUAGUUGUUUCAAGUAUACAAGAGAGAAUAAGCAGAAUGCCAAAACAUGCUAACAAUUUUAUUUUCUUGCUAGAAGAUCUUGCAACUCUAGAUGCACUAUUUACAUUUGCUUCUUGGGCCCAUUCGAACAUUCAUCAAAAGCCCAUCUUGUUAAAUGAUAAUAACUUUUAUGAUGCCUUUAUAGAAUUUAUUAACCAUGCAAUUAAAAAUCAUUUCGUUUAUAGCCAAAAAACUCUUUAUUUGUGCUCUUACUACUAAUGAGUUACUCAAUCUUUUAGAAGCUUAUAGUCCAGAGCCAAAUCCCAAGACUCUUGCGUUGGAUUGGUCGAUUGAUGAUGGUAGUAGUAGUAGUAAAAAGUAAAAAUUAGAUCUAACUCUCCAUUUCUAAAUAUUUUCUAUUGAUGUGUUCAAGUGAUGUCUUCUAAACUCUACUUUUUUUCCUUCAAGACAUUGAUGACAAUGUCUCAUUGAGGUUAAGAGGAGGGAAUAAUUGACAAUUGUGCAAUAAAUAAUAGUUGUGUUCUUGUAUUCGUGCUAACCUUUUCUAAAUUUUUGUGUCGAAAAUAGUCGAAUAUAGAGUUUAGUUACUUUAGACAUACAUCUUGAUGUGCAUCUUCUUAGACUUUUGAGUCUAAAUAAAAAAAAAUUUGAAUUCUCCAUUAUGAUAUUAUUGAGUGCCCAUUUUUGUCUACCUUGGCCAUCUUGACAAAUUCAAUAGAUUAGUCUAGACACACAUGACAGGUGGUGGUGGUAAGUUAAGAUUUUGUAAUACCUAAUCUUUUCAUUUUAUUCGUAAGCAACAAUCAAAGGUAGUAGAAUUUACCAAAAAAAAGAAAAAAAGAAAAGAGACACUCUCACUCACUAACCAGGUCUCCUUCCUGAGCAAGCAAAGGGUAUUCGUGUAAAAUGGUGAGAGUUGAUCAAGCUUAUGUAAACUCUUACUUAGUAACUGGGCCUCCUGCCUAAGCAAGCAAAAGGUGUUUGCGAAAAAUGGUGAGAGUUCGAUUUGUCCAACCCAAUACUUUUUUAAUAACCGAGCCUCUUUCCUAGGCAAGUAGAGAGUGUUCACGUAAAACAAUUAGAGUUGGUUAGAAAUAUAUUAUAAAUAAACUUGCUACCUAAGAAAAAUAACUUCAAUGAAGUGGUGAGAACAAAAAUACCACUUUAUUUUAACCAAACCCUAUAAUCAUUAUGUUAAAGAUCACUGCACACAAAAGAAGUUUUGCUGAAUUGUUGAUUGAUGGUUGAGUGGCGAAGGAGAAGAAUAGAACUUCAAAGUGUUCAUUUAUUUGGUAAAUAGAUUUUAAUUUGAUUUGGAUUUUAUAGCUUAUUGCUAGGGACUAGAGAAUACAUAUUUACAGAAGGUUAAAUCAUCAUUUUGCACUCCAAGCCUCACUAACAUUUAUACUUUUAUUUAUUUAAGUCUUUUAAACUUUAAUUUUGUGUGUAUUGUUAUAAUGCUAUGUAUUUCAAGGGUAUUCUGGAUAUUUCAAGAUUAAUGAGUAGUCAGACAGCAAAAUGAACACCGUAGGAAGGGCAUAAAGGGUAAAACUAUAAUUUUGAGAUUUUAAUGAGGCCCAACUAGCGUGCCAUUGACUAGCUAACAUGGCAGUGACCAGAUGAUGUGGCAGUAGCUUAUUGGACUGAAAAAUGCUAAUGUGGCAUGGACCAAUGACGUGACAUUGACCGAUGAUGUGGCAGUAUGCCAGUAUCCUAUUAUACCGAAAAAUGUUGAAGUGGUGUUGAUUGAUGAUGUGGCAACAUGUUAUUGGACCUGAUGAUUUGUUUCAACUAAUAAGAUCUUGCCACGACACAAUCCUGAGUAUUCGAAUUGUUUUCAUCUAAUGCCCAUGUUUAACUCAUUGCAACUAUAAAUAAGGGGCUCCCCUAAUUUGAUAGCGUUGAAUCUAAAUUUGAGCUCCAUUUUUCAUAAUUCUCUCUUCAUCUUGUAUUUUCUACAUAUUUUAAUAACUCUAGUUCAAUCAUGAGUGGCUAAUUUAAUUUCAAGUUUUGGUUGAAGGUGAAGCCUCAACAUGAUUCAUAGGUUUAAUUUGAUAAGUUUAUUUUAUUUUCCUCUCCGAUUUAUGUGGUUGUUUUGACUUAUUGUCAACAGACAAUGUAUCCUAUCUAGAUUUUGCAUGGUAUAUUGGCUCUCUAGUGAUAGAUCAUUACUGUCCGGCAUAAUAAGCACUUUACACUAUAUUUAUUAAAAAGAAAAUCUCCUCCAGUAAUUGUGGAUUUUCUAGACUCAGUGUUGACUGAGAGUGCAUCUAAGUUAUUUAGUAAAUGGUCUUGCCACAUUGUCGACAGAAAGCUUAUUAUUGUCUAGCACAACGUGUACUUGACACCACACUUAGCAGAAGAUGAUUACUCUCUGGGGACACUAAGUGCUUGAUACAAUAUUUAUUAAAGUGAGGCUUAAGUUUUGGAAAUACCCUCUCAUAAAAUAAUUAGAAGUAAAAAGGAAUAUUAAGCCCUUGGUGAAUUAUUGAGUUGAAUUCAGAAACUCAAGUGUUGAUAAAAAAAAUCAUCUCUAACCAAUUUACAUGCACACUUAGAAAAUUAACUCUACAUAUAACUAAAUUAACCUCCUCGUCAAUCGACACUCGUCACCAUAAAUAUGUACUACAAUAUAUUCGUGUGCUUUCGAUUACAAUAAAAUUUGCACAGCAGUAUCCGUCAACCCACAAUUUUAUUUUUUUUAUAAAUUUUAAUUAUUAAAAUCAUUAAAAAUAUUUAAUUAUAAAAAUACAUAAACUUUGUUAUUAACAACCACUUGUUGCCCAAGACCUAACCUAGUCUUUUUAAUUAUAAAAAUACAUAAUUGCUAACACUAGCUUGAUUCACAUCUUUCUCUUCACAGUAUGUAUGUAUGUAUAUAUUUUUAAAGAAACUUUUGUAGCUAUCAAUGAAAAGGCAGCCAUGUUAGUUGAAAUUGGUCUAUCUUAGAUUUCUCGAUUUUGGCCAAAAAUCCACCAAAACGUGCCUACUAAUCUAGUUAAAAGCUCAAGCAUAAGCAUAACUCCUAGCCUAACGUUAAUUGUAUAUUUAUAUGCAAUAGUAAGGGUAUAUUUUUACAGAAAUGUUUAGAUGAAUUUUUAGGUGUAUUAUGAUUUGGAUGUGGUAUUAUGAUUUGGAAUAAAUAUGUCACUGUUGCCACUGUCGCGAGUUACAGGCAAAACUACUGAUUUGAAAUAAAUUUAUUGCUAUUAUCGUAACUAUGGGUUAUGGGCAAAACCUAUUGCAGGUUAUCGGUGGUUUUGAUAAUUGUUAAAAUCCACAGCGGAUAGGUUUUUGAAAAAAACUAAAAACCACAGCUAGUUGCGGGUGGGUUAGGCAAUUUAAACAUUUUGUUGGUGCCGGAUUAGUAAUGACAAACCUGCUGCGGGUGGUACUCAAUGUCAUUCUAAAUCAUGGAGUGAGUAUAAAAGUUAAGUAUCUCAUGUGGGACCCACCCAUUAAUCCCCAAAAUAGUGAAAAGGUAUCCCAUGCUCUUUAUAGAAUAAUUACUUAGGAUAAGCGUUUAUAAUGUUGGAAAAAUAAUUACUGAGGGACAGUCCGUUUCUCUAAAUGAACUAUUAAGUUGAGAUAAUUAAUGAAGCAUCAAGUCUCUAAUACUAAUGCUAGCUAGUUUCGAGCCCAAUUUCUUCUGCAAUCGACAAAAGAUAACCACAACAUUGUAUAAUAACUAAACGAAUAAAUGCCCUUUCAAGAAAUUCCAAGAUCGCCACUUCAGUGGACCAUUCCAUAAAAGAUUCAAUCAUUGGAAAUUGGUAUUAUUCCCUGUUGUUUGUGAAAGAAAAUCCAGAAAACCAAAACGGCAGAAGAUUUUGCGUUUAGAGCUGAAAUCACUUAAGCUCAACGACAUAGAGUCUUGCGUUUUGAGGAGUAAAAGAAAUACUCUUCUGAACGACAUGUGGAUUUGUCGUUUAAGUUUAAGUGAAGCACGCUUGUAUCACGUGCUUGGGUUCAGCUUGCAAGGGUCGUUGGAAGCUGUUAAACGCAUGAGGAACUCACGUGAGUUGCUGGGGAAUUUCUGGGUUCGUUAUUGAAGCUGUUAUCAGCAGCUGAUGUGGAAGCAACAGAUUGGUAUGCAGAGAGAGCUGAAGAGAGAGAAGGGGACUGGUUUAUAUAUAUAGUCAGUUACGUUCUUUCUAGUGCAUAAGCAUUACUCUGUAAUUCAUCUUGGUAAAUCAAUAAAGCUGUAUUUUGCCCUCCCGUGGAUGUAAGCUAGAGAAAUCUAGCUGAACCACGUUAAGAUUCUUUUGUUCUCUGAUUCAUUUACUUCUGUUUUGAUUCUUAAUUCCAAUCAGUUAAUUAUCUAGUUCAUAGGUUCAUCUUAGUCGCAGCUUUUCAGUCAUCAAUCUUGCAGCAUCUUGAUUAGUUGGUUGGUGAUCUUGGGGAAGAAUCUAAGGUUGCUUAGUCUGUUCAUAGCUCCUUAGUCUCUACAUUCCCUUUUGUAUAUAGAAGUAUUAUUCCAAGUAAAAUAAGGAGAACGUUCAACGGAUCCUUUAAUGCUUUAAUUUCGGAGACUAGGGAUUUGGAAUUUUAAUUGCUCGUGUCCUUUUUUUCUUUUAUAUUUCAAAUUAAUUGUACAACUCAAGUCAUUUGGCAGCAGAUUUACUUGCAACCAGCAAAAGAAUCAUUCCAGUGUUUUGGAGUGGCGAAGAUAGGCCAACAUUUAUCCAUCAAAACUGUACUAAUUAAUAAUAUGUACUAAUUGGUGAUCAGCCUAACAAAUAACUUGUAUGACAACUUACAACUUCAACUGACAAGAUAAUAAAAUUAAUGAUUCUAUUUGUAGCUAAAAUCUAUGCACAAUAAGAGAUAUUAAUGAUAGGACUUUCAAAAAUAAAAAUUCUAAUUCAUAAUAAUAAUAAGGAACUUCAAAUAAAACAUAAAUUAAUAAAAUAGUCUGUCACUGCAAAUAAUUUGAAAAAACUCCGAGCUUCAGAGUUUUCUUUGUCAUUUAUUAAUUAUUUCUUCGUCAAAUUAAACCAGCGAGCUUCUUCAAAGACCCAACUUGUUCAAUAGACGAGGAAAAUUGCUUGAAUUCCAUGAAUUUUGACAGAGAUAAGAAACCUAAGAGGAGGGACGAUUAAUAAUUAGAAAAAGAAUAAUGUAAACUUUUAUAUAUGUAUACAUAGAUGUAUAAUUGAUACUAAGCGAUUAAAAAAAUUUACCCGGUAAUAUGUAUAUAUAUAUACAUAUACACGCACACAUAUAUACAUAUAUACAAAUUAUAAGGAGAUUUUGAAUGAACCUUGCAAUAGAGUGAACGGAAAUAAUUAUUCCCUUGCAGCCUAUCUGAACAGCCGUUGCAUUUAUUGGAGGUGGAUUCUCUAAAAUAUGCUUCUGGCCUUUGGUUUAUAUGUAGCACUUUUUCACCAUCUUGUUGGCAAGAAAGUGGGCAGAUAUAAAUGUGGUUUCAUCAGUCAUACGCUCAUGUGUGGAUACCGAACUUGAGCUAAGAUCAAAAUUGUAUGCCAUAGUCCAAUUCGGAUUUUGCAAAAUUCGGAUGUUUGUACAUGAGCAUUAUUAUGUAGUUCAGAAUAGUAGUUCGUUGGCAAAUACCAGAAUUUUUGAAGAAAAUAUUCAAUGAAGAAGAAAUAAAUAAGAUUACAAUCAAUAAACUCGUCAGCGUCAACCAACCGUACAACGCUCUUUCGGCCAGAUGUGCGGAUCUGAAAUAUUAAAGAUUUACAAAACAAAUGCAUAAGUAAAUAAAUCAUGCAGAUGGUUUUAAAAAUUUCAUGAUGUAAUAAAUUUAAUUCAAUUAAUAUUUAUUUAUUCAUGUGAACCUUUAAGAGGUGAUGAGUACUUUCGGGAUCGGACAAGCAUUUUUCGCAUAUUCUGGCGCAACAAUUCAAACAAUAUAUGUUCCUUUGUUUAACAGCCUUUCCAUAAUUGCAAUUUUCAAAGCUUCUCUCUUGGAAGAGAGUCAAAAGACCUUGGAGCCACUGGGGUUGAUUCCCUGCCUGAAAACACGAUUGAAAUACAAUUGAUGUUAUUAACUGAUAAAAUUCAAUAACAAAAAUUUCGAGUCCUAAUAAACAAACGAAGUUGGAUUCAAUAUGCUAAUCACCCUUGACACGAGAUUAUUAAAAGAUCAGCACAACUAUAUGAUCAAAGCUGAAUCUAAAUUCUAAACAAAAAGUGAAAAUUAAAGAAAAGACCGACCAUAAUUAUCUUUUGAUGCUGGAGAGUGUAUAUUUUUUAGAGAGAGAGAGGAGUGUUAGUAAAGAGAAUUACACAAGAAUCAAAGAGAAUUGAGCAUUUUAUAUAUGUAUGUGUCUUAUUUGUGUCGUAUUGCUGUCCGAAAAAUUGUAGCACUGUUUUAAUUAAUUAAUGUGAUAGGUUUAAUGAACAAGAAAAAAAAAAGCACGCGGGUAGAUUAAUUUCUGUUUUAGCAACUAUAAUAGGAAACGUUUGAGUCUUAUUUGGGUAGUGUUUGUAUCUUAAUUAACGCAAUCACUAUUUUGUUGCCUACUCUAGUGUUAGAUGAGGAAACUUCAAAAAGAAUAAAAGUGGAAAAAAUAAAUUGCAAUGAGUUAAUGGGAAACAAAUAAUAAAUGCACCAAGUUGAUUUGGAUUAAUUAAUUUUCGACAUCUAUAAUUAAUUAUAGGGUAGGGUUAGUUGAACCCACAAAAUUCUUCUCUACACAUGUAUAAAAGAUAUAUUUAUUUUUAAAUUUUUAAAAUUUUAGAAUGUCAGAAUUACUAUUUAUUUUUUUCUUUCUUUUACAGAUGCAUAUUCUCUCUCUAAUAUAACAUCUUGUAAACUAAAUUCUCACUUACACUCUAACAUGGAUAUUGAUUCUUAAUCUUUCUUAUUAGAUCAUAAUUGCAUUUUUCAAUAAAUCAUUACUGCAUUUGAAUUAUUGAACUAAAACUCUCCUGGAGCUCAGCCAUAUGUAUAUCUACGCUGGGACCGUCAUGUAUUAUAAUCCAUGUUCUUCAAUAAGGUCAAUGUAUGCCGAUGUCAUUCGAAUCAGGAUUUUCAUUAUCAAAGAUUUUACGUAUUUCAUGGCCUGUAAACGUUUUUUUUUAAUUUAUUUUUUAUCGUGGAUUUUGUUUUGUUUUUAAUUGAUGAUGGCCAAUAGAAAAUUUGAAUUUAUCAAUUUUGACAGACGAAUUUAUCAACUUUCGACAGAAACAUUAAACAUUCACAUGCAGUUGAACUUUGAAAGAAGAAAAUAUGUGAGGAAUAGGAAGAGAAAGAGAACACAUUACAUUCGGUAAUUCCACAAAAAUUUCAUAAAUAAUAAAAAUUUAAAAAAAAAAUGGUUCUAGAAAUGAAAUUUGUGGGUUCAAAUAGUCUCACUCUUAAUUAUAGGAGAAAGCAUAACUACACCCAUAAAGUUUUAAAAAAUGGUCAAAGAAACUCCCAAUUUCAAUAAAGGAAUCCUCCUUUGCUAUAAUAUUCUUUGGCGCUAAUUAACCACAAAAAAAUGACUCAAUGUUUUAUAAAAAUAGAAAAAUAAUAUUAAAAUGAAUGUAAUAAUAUAUACAUUUUAAAAUAAUUUCAACAUUAAAAAAUUAUUUAAUAUUUUACAAUCUAUUAGACAUAUUCUAUUAUAUUAAAGUAAAUUUUAUACAAAUGGAAACAUAAUAUUAAAAUAUUAUAUAAUAGCUUGAAUUAUUUUGAAUUUUACAUAAAAUAAUUUUAACUUUAAAAUAAUGCAUGAGAUAUAUUUUAUUCAUUGUAAAAUUUAUUUAAACCAAAGAUUUAUUUAAAAUCUUUAUAAUAAAUACAAAUAUAUUAAUGAAAUAAAUAUAAUAAUUUAUAUUUUAAAAAUUAUUUCAAAUAUUAUUUUUUUACUAUUAUUAGUCUACUAGAUAGAGUAAAUUAUUUGUAGCACACUUUUAUAUUUAUUAAAAAUUUUGAAGCUAUUUUUUUACUAACUAUAUGUGAAGAAUAUUAACUAGAUAAAAUUAGGUUUUGAUGUCCAUUAUUGAAAUUGGGGUUCUUCAUGACCAUUUUCCCAAAUCUCGGAGGCUUAGCUAUCUUUUUCCCUCAACUUGCAUUACAGAUUAUGGAACUGAUUUUACCAAAAUUAUAUACACCGAAAGAUUCUAUUAUGUUUCUAUUUGUGUGUGUGUGUGUGUGUGUGUGUGUAACGUACUCACAACAAUAAAAACUCUUUUCAUUAGGUGUAUCAAAUAUGGGGACUUUAGAAAAAAUAAUAAUAAUAGUAAUAGUAAUAGUAAUAAUGUUGUAAUACAAUAAAUGAUAAAUUAAUAACCUUAAUUAAAUAAUAAAAUUCUCUGAUCCCAACUUGUGCCUAUUUGAAAAAUUACUAAUUUAGAUAAAAGCAUAAGAUAAUAACUUUUUAUUCUAAAGCAACAAAAAGAAAUACAUAGAUAAUUCAUGAUUCAGACCAAUGCUUCGUAUUCUCUUCAUUAAUUCUUUUGGUUAAUCUAUUUGUGUUUCAUAGUCAUAAACUUGUAAUUUUUUUUCUAGCCCCAAGGGCUUCAUUGUUAUGUAGUUUUUACAUAAUUUUAUUUGAUUGGUUACCCAAGUUUAAAUCUUGAGAAGAUAUAAAAAUCAUCAUUUUACCCAUCUAAAAUCGAAACUUAUAUACAUAUAUAAAUUAAAAGAAAAAACUUGUUCAGUGCUAAAAUGAGUUUUCCCCAUAUAACUUUUCCAUGGAGGGAUUUACCUUAAUGACAAUGUGAAAACAUAAGAAUUUGAUUGAUAAGAGAAACAAAGCUUCUCAAUAAUGAAUGUUUUAUUGAAAAAGUUUGAAUUAAUAAAAUUAGGGUUUUGCGCCCCUAACAUAGUAGCCCUAAACAUCACAAAUUUACGAAAAUAGACAAAUAUAAAAUAUUAUUUUAUAUUAAUAUUCUUCUAUUCUAAAUAAGAAAAAUAAAUAAAUGGAACCCAAAUUUGAUUUCUAAAAAAAUAAAAUCCAAAAAAAGAGAAAUAGGAAAUAUCUUAAAACUAAAAAAAGACCAAGAAAAAAUAGAAUUUUUAGCUUGAGCACGGACCAAAAGGGUGCAAUCUAUUUUGGGCUUUGUUUGUCUAAUCACAAACUUCGAAACAGUAUAUUAUAUGCCCAAAACAAACACUUGUAACUCACGUUAUGACCUCUAGAAUGUACCCUACUCAUCUCAUGCAACCAUCUUACAUCGUUUUGCCAACCAAGUACCCAUACUUUGGAUCAUGGUCUUCAGUUUCUAAGACAAAGUUGUACACUUAACUUGAAUGGUUUAAUUUUAUGAUGCUAAUUAGGGUGCGUGCUUUGAUCAAACUCGAUAAAGUACAAACACAAACCAAAAAUGUGCAAUCUAUUUUGGGUUUUGUUUGUUUAGUCACAAAUUUUGAAACAAUAUAUUAUAUGCCCAAAUCGAACAUCGGUAGCCUAAGUUAUGACCUCCGGAAGGUACCUUAUUCAUCUCACGCAACCAUCCUAACUCACUUAGCCAACCAAGUAGACAUACUUUGGACCAUGGUCUUCGGUUUCUAAGUUCAAGUUGUACACUUAACUUGAAUGGUUUAAUUUUGUGAUGCUGACUGGGGCCCCUUUUUUUUUUAUCAGACUUGAUGAAGUACUACGGGAUUUUGUAUCUUUCUCAAUGCAAAUCGUAUCUCAUGGUGUUAUAAGAAGCGGCCCACUGUAUGAAGUGUUGAUCACUUGCUUUCACAACAGUUGAGCUCACAUGGCUAACCUUCCUAUUCUUCGUGUUUUGUGAUAAUAUAAGUGCGUUACACACAUAUGACGGUAAAUCCAGUCUUGCAUGCGCGGUCGAAACAUAAUGAGAUGGACUAUCAUUUUCGUAUAAGGUUAGCCAUGUUGAUAUUUUGAUAAGAGAUUUAAGGAACUCCUACCGCAUUCAAGAUGCACUGUUUUGGAUUUCCUCAAUGAAGAUUCAUAUAAUCUCUUUGUUUGCUUUACUUUUUGUUUUGUCUAUAUCCUUGUGGGUCUUUUGAUGGAAUAACUCUCACCACUUAUUCAUCUUUUUAUUUUUGAAUUUAACAAAGCUUAGGGUUUACAGGAUCCAAUUUUUAGUAAUUAAGUCAAACCACAUAACUGACCAAAGAUUGAUAACUCAAAUAAAUACGCAUUACUAAUAAUAAUAAGUUCCGAAAACCCAAAAAAAAAAAGCGCCCUUCACUAGAAAUUUAAAUGUCGAAUGAAGAGAAAAAAAAACAAUUGAAGAAUUUGAUGAAGCAUGCAGUGCAAGCUAUGGCAGAUUCACUCUGUUCAAAAGCCAUUUGGCGUUGCGAUAAUUGGAUGGAACUGACAUGAUAUGAUUAACCUAUAAUUAAAGACAGAUAAAUAUUAGAGUUAGAAUAAAAUAAUUUAACUAAAGUGAAAUUAAUUACUUAAUUAACUAACCUUGCAAUCGAUUGAACAAAAGGAAUUAUGAUGUUCAAGCGUUGCAUCGCAGCCGUCACGUUCACAAUUAUUGCCUCCAUAACUUGUCUGUGGCCUUUGCUUAAUAAAUAACACUUGGGCACCAUUAUGGACGCGUGGCUAAAGAGUAACAUAGAUUUAGAACACAUAAAUGUAUAAAGCGAGGAAAGUGAGGAAAAAAAGUUUUUUUUUUUUAAAGUGAGUAAAUAUUUAAUGACAAAUUAUUAAAAAUGAAAUUAAUAUAAACAUUAUUUUUGGACCGUAUGAAAACACUAAUUCAUUAAAAUAAUACUCUUUUUUUUCUUUUUUUAAAGUAUUGUAAUAAAGAGAAAAGAAUAAUAAAAAGUCAUGGUUUAUGAAUAUCACAUACAUAAAAAUAAGAUGACAACUUACUUGGAUAUGGCUACAAUCAAGCAACUCGUUGGUAUUGUCCAACUUUACAACUGCACAACUUUGAUUUCUACCAGUGCCAUGUGUGAAAAUCUGAAAUAUGAAAAAUUGAUGUAAAGCAAUAUCAAAGCAAAAUAAAAGAUCAUGAUAGUACAGAAUCAAUAAGUAUAGAUAGUAACCUUUAAGAGUCGAUGAUUCGCAUGAUCAUCGCAAUCUUUACAAAUACAAGCUCGACAUUCCAAACAAAAAAGGUUCUUAUGUUUUCGAUUAUGACCUUGCUCUUCACAAUGCUCGUCGAAUCUUCCUUUAAGAAGAGCGGUUAGCCAACGAGGUACAAUAAGAACAUUGUCCUGAAAAACAUGGAAUAUAUUAAUACAGUUAAAAUUAAUCUAAAUUAUAAGAAACAACUAAGGAUAUAAAAAUAAAAGCCAACCAUUGUUUUCUUGGUAGGGAUUCUAGCAAGAGAAUAAGGGAUUCUAGCAAGAGAAUAACUUUUGCAAGAGGAGAGGCGUGCUAGCUAGCUGGCUAGAAAGAGGAUAAUUGCAAUGAAUCAAAUAGAGAAGAAAUUCGAACUAUUUAAAGAGAUGAAUGUGCCGUAUUUAUGUCGUGUUUGUGUGACUUAAUAGGUCGUAUUAUGUUGCAAAAAGGGAAAGAACGAAAAGGGGACAAAUAUAUAUUGCAAAAACGGGAAAGCAAGGAAAAGGGGGGAAAAAGAUUGCACGUUCAGAAGGUGACGCCCCGUAUGGUUAAAUUCUUAUAUAUUUUGCAUGUUAAUUAAAUAUAGGAGUAAUAACGGCAUGUAAUCCCUUUUAAGUUUGAAAAGUACAAUAAUUAUAUUAGAAAUAGAUUUUGCUUUGGGGAUGUUAUAAUUAAUGAAAUAGGUUUUGUUAACAAAAAUAGUUUCUAUUUUUAGCAACUAUAAAAUGGAAAAGUCCUUAUUCAAGUUGUGCUUGUGUCUUAAUUAACGCAACACUAUUUUGUUGCCUACUCUGAUCUAGUGUUAGAUCAGGAAACGAGAAAGAAAAAGAAAGGAACAAAAGUAGAAAAUAGAAAAUAUAAGUUAUUGGGGAAAAAAAAUAUAUAAGCACAAGUUGGUUUGGAUUAACUAAUUUUCGAGAUCUAUAUGUAAUUAAUUAAAUGGCUUUUACACAUUACUCAGCCUAUUAAAAAAAACUAAGAAGAUAAAGCAGAGAUAAGUCUUUUAAUUAACUUGUGUUAUAGACCAUGUGGAAUUGUUUGUGCCAGAAAGAUAUCGAAAGAAAAGCGUCCCUCUAUGAAGCCGUAAUUUUGUUACAACAUUAAUAAUGUGGCUAACAAACCAGUUGAAAGGGUGAUUUUAAAUUUAAAAAGUAAAGAAAAUAGAGAUAUGAUAAAAUACAAUCUUUGUAUUUAUCUCAUUGAAUUCACUGUCGGUUUUAUCUCUCACAUUUGAAAUUGGAUUCUUGAAGAUUGUCUCUACUCCUGAAUGAUUAUACGAAAAAGAUUCGACAAGCUGUUCUUAUUCCAUAGCACUUUAGUGCCAAAUAAUCUUAAUUGUUUUUGUUAUUCGAAUUGAUUUGACAGUGAAUUCUUGUAAAUUUCAGUUGUAUUGUCAAACUGGAUUAUGUUUAUAACAUAGCAGUCUCCUUCCAAAUCCAAGUGGACAUAUAAUGUUAACCUAGCAAAACCAUUUAUAGGAACGGUUAACUUGUCCUUCUAGCUCAACUUAUUUUCAGUUUAUUGCCUUCAAUGUUUGACAGGGAGGCUUCUAAAUGUGCUGCUGGACGGUCAAACCAGACAAGGAAUCAUUGAUUUGAUGUUCUUGUUGAACAAUAUUCAUAUCAAAUCACGCUUUGAUGAUGUUAUAUAUUUAGUUAUUACCUUACAUGAAUUAAUGAUCUUGCCCACUUAUUAAAGGAGUUUUAAUUUUUUGUCAUUUAUGUUGCCUUAUUUUGCUGGGUCAUACCGCACUUAUGGUGCGUUGGUAGCCACAUUACCUGGUAUAAAUCAUGAUGCACCAUUCUUUCAGAUGCUCAUAGUUAGCAGUUUGUUUCCAGUAGCAUUUUGUAAAAGAAAGAUACAAUUGACUACUCGAAAAUAUCAUUAUAUAUAUAUAUUUGUUACGUUUGACAUUAAUGUUGUGAAACAUUAUAAAUGCAACAUUUAAUUUUUAAUAGCACAACACUUUUUUUAUUCUCUUUUUGUCUCAAAUGCAUAGUUGAUUAGUGUUAAAAAUUGUCUAAUUAUCAAGCGGUAAUAAUGUUAUUUUGUGCUUAUGUUAUAAUUUUAUUUGUGUUUAUGAAAUAUAUUAGGAAUUAUUAAUUAUGUAUUAAAUAUAUCUAAUUUUAUAUAUUUUUAAGUGUUUAUAGGUAAAAUAUUAAUUUCACGCAAUUCGAGGCUCCAAACAAAUAAACGGAGGUCAAAUUUGGAUUCUGGAGGUCCGAAAACUUUAAGAUCAGUCAAGAUCGACUUAAAAUUGAGCUUGUGUAAAAAGAGUUGACUUUUUUGCUUGACCGAGCACUGAUUGGAUGAUGAAAUGAGCUUACAAUAGAUUUGAGUGCAUGGGAUAGCAGACAAUUUUGACGAAAUCUCAACCGUUCAUGAUUCAAUGGCCAUGAUUGUGCCACGUGGCAAUGGUUGGUGAAGCAAGUUGUAGGAUCCGAAUCUUUGUAUUCGGGUCGACCCAAUCCAUCCAUUAACCCGCCAAAUCUCAACUAUUCUUUGGCCAAAUUGAUCAAGUCAAACAAUGCCACGUGUGAUGUUGACUUUUGAAGUUUGACUAGCCGUUGGAUCUUGAUCUAUUGGUUGUGAGGAGCGCAUGCAUGAAACUUAUGAUGGAUGGUAAAACACUGGAUUAUGAAUUUAUUUUUCUAUAAAUUGAGGCUCAUUUUUAUGUUUUUAAUGAUCUCUCUACAUCUCUCUUCUUCUCAAAUUCUCUCCAUCUUCCUGUAAUCUUGAUUUUCAGGUGUGUUUUUAAUAUUUUGUAUAAUUAUUUUAUAAAUAAAUUUAGUUUUAUUUUCAAUUUUAGUUGUUUUUAUUACGUAUUUCUUUUAUCAUCUUGCAACUAUCCAUGCCGCCAUAGUAAUUAAAAACUAACAUAUGUGAAUUAUUAAUUAGAGCCAACUUUGAAUUGUGAGAACACGAACUUUAUCAAUCAGAUGAAAUUUGUAUCUUGUUACUUUAAUUUUUUUUUUCCUUUCAAUUGAACUACAUAUUCGAUGUAGAGUUUUUAUAUUGAUUACUCAUUAAGUUUUUUAGUUUCUAAGUUUCCAAUCUCUUCUCGUAUUUGGGGAAAUAAAAUUUCUCAGUAGUAAAAUGAAUAUACUUUUGUGGUAUUCCAUUUAGAGCUCAUGUGUCAACGUCUAAAGCAAAUAUAUAUAUGUUGAGCUCUUUUGGAAUGACUUGAACACUUCAACAAGACCAGCAUCUUUAGUGCUAUCCAUGAUAUAGAAUAAUAUAGCAAUUAUAUGCUAAUUUAAAAUUAAAAAUCAAUAUUUACCAACAAGCUGUAAGUUACUUGCUAUAUUUCAAUUAAUUAAACUAUAUGAGAUUACCACUCUCUAAUAUUCAUUGAUAUUUUUUAUUAUCUGUGCUCUUACGACUAAUGAGUUACUUAAUCUUUUAAAAGCUUAUAGUCCAGAGCCAAAUCUCAAGACUUUUGUGUUGGAUUGGUCAAUUGAUGAUGGUAGUAGUAGUAAGAAGUACAAAUUAGAUCUAACUCUCCGUUUUUAAAUAUUUUCUAUUACUGUGUUCAGGUGAUGUCUUCUAAACUCUACUUUUUCCUUCAAGAUAUUGCAGAUAAUGUCUCAUUGAUGUUAAGAGGGGGGAAUAAUUGAUAAUUGUGCAAUAAAUAAUAGUUGUGUUCUUGUAUCCUUACUAACUUUUUCUAAAAGAUCAUGAUAGUACAGAAUCAAUAAGUAUAGAUAGUAACCUUUAAGAGUCGAUGAUUCGCAUGAUCAUCGCAAUCUUUACAAAUACAAGCUCGACAUUCCAAACAAAAAAGGUUCUUAUGUUUUCGAUUAUGACCUUGCUCUUCACAAUGCUCGUCGAAUCUUCCUUUAAGAAGAGCGGUUAGCCAACGAGGUACAAUAAGAACAUUGUCCUGAAAAACAUGGAAUAUAUUAAUACAGUUAAAAUUAAUCUAAAUUAUAAGAAACAACUAAAGAUAUAAAAAUAAAAGCCAACCAUUGUUUUCUUGGUAGGGAUUCUAGCAAGAGAAUAAGGGAUUCUAGCAAGAGAAUAACUUUUGCAAGAGGAGAGGCGUGCUAGCUAGCUGGCUAGAAAGAGGAUAAUUGCAAUGAAUCAAAUAGAGAAGAAAUUCGAACUAUUUAAAGAGAUGAAUGUGCCGUAUUUAUGUCGUGUUUGUGUGACUUAAUAGGUCGUAUUAUGUUGCAAAAAGGGAAAGAACGAAAAGGGGACAAAUAUAUAUUGCAAAAACGGGAAAACAAGGAAAAGGGGGGAAAAAGAUUGCACGUUCAGAAGGUGACGCCCCUUAUGGUUAAAUUCUUAUAUAUUUUGCAUGUUAAUUAAAUAUAGGAGUAAUAAUGGCAUUUAAUCCCUUUUAAGUUUGAAAAGUACAAUAAUUAUAUUAGAAAUAGAUUUUGCUUUGGGGAUGUUAUAAUUAAUGAAAUAGGUUUUGUUAACAAAAAUAGUUUCUAGUUUUAGCAACUAUAAAAUGGAAAAGUCCUUAUUCAAGUUGUGCUUGUGUCUUAAUUAACGCAACACUAUUUUGUUGCCUACUCUGAUCUAGUGUUAGAUCAGGAAACGAGAAAGAAAAGAAAAGGAACAAAAGUAGAAAAUAGAAAAUAUAAGUUAUUGGGGAAAAAAUAUAUAUAUAAGCACAAGUUGGUUUGGAUUAACUAAUUUUCGAGAUCUAUAUGUAAUUAAUUAAAUGGCUUUUACACAUUACUCAGCCUAUUAAAAAAAACUAAGAAGAUAAAGCAGAUAUAAAUCUUUUAAUUAACUUGUGUUAUAGACCAUGUGGAAUUGUUUGUGCCAGAAAGAUAUCGAAAGAAAACAUCCCUCUAUGAUGCCGUAAUUUUUUUACCGCAUUAAUAAUGUAAGAACUAUGUAUCAUUAGAUCUUAUCAACAGUACACAUUAUUUUUAUUAAUUAAAAAAUUUAUUUAUUUUUAAAAUAUUAUAACUGGUUAACAAACCAAUUGAAAAGGUGAUUUUAAAUUUAAAAAGUAAAGAAAAUAAAGAUAUGAUAAAAUACAAUCUCUUUAUUUAUCUCAUUGAAUUUAUUGUCGGUUUUAUAUCUCACAUUUGAAAUAUGAUUCUUAAAGAUUGUCUCUACUCCUGAAUGAUUAGACAAAAGAGAUUCGAUAAGCUAUUCUUAUUCCAUAGCACUUUAGUGCCAAAUAAUUUGAAUUGCUUUUGUUAUUCUAAUUGAUUUGAUAGUGAAUACUGUUACGGAAGCGUGAGAUUGAGCAAUUACCAAUAUUUUAGUGACUGUAACUUCUGGAGAAAUAUAAAUGUGGUGUAAACAAAUGCAGAGAAAAUAGGACACAAUAAUUUUUACGUGUUUCGGCGUAAAAUCUACGUCCAUGGGCAAAGACUGGAAGAUAAUUUUACUAAUAAUGAGACUUUACAAAAGUGAAAAAACUCUAAAAAAAAAAAAAUACUCAAUACACCCAACACUACAACAAAACUGGCAAUAGAUGACUGCAAAAAUCUAUCAUAAAGGGGGGUGGAUGACAGUGAAAUUAUCUAUCAUUUAUGUACCUGUCACUCUUUUAUGAUAGAAAAAAAGUAUGUCAUUAACGUAUGAUAGCGUUUAAAUGUCAUAUGUCAGUCAUGGAAAAAAAUAAAUAAAUAAUUUAAUUUUUUGGUGGGACAUGUAAAUUUUUUUUUUAUUUUGAAAUUUUGGCUGGAAAAUUAAUUUUCAUAUGGACAAUUUUGGCGGGUAAAAUAUUACGUUUGUGAUAAAAUUUAUGAUUGAUAUUUUAUGUCAUUAAUUCUUUUUAUGACUUAUUUUAUGAUUAAUUUUUUCUAUCACAAAUUCUAAAUUUAUACUGAACAUAAUUAUGAAUUAUUUCAUUUAAAUUUAUGCAUUCUUGUAUAUGAAAUUCAAUCACAAAUUCAAUAUGAACCAAAAAUUAAAUUAUACAUUCUAUUAAGUCCAAAAACACUUUGUAUUAAUAACAUCAUCUAAAAACACUUUUAUCCAACAGUUAACACAUCCAAAGUAAUUAAGAAGUUGAUUCCAGCAAACGUUUCAAAUUUUACAAACUAACAAGCCGUCAAAUCUUGUAACGCAGAACUCCCAUAUUCUCAGUAAAAUUCCAGUAGAUAAACUACCAUUCUCAACAAAUACCCAGCAAAACUCCCAAGACCAGCAAUUUCUCUCAACCUGCAUAUGCAACACCAAUUGAAUAUACCAAGCACUAUCGUUAUAAAGAAUAAAAACCUACAGUAAAACCCCUAAGUUUUAGAUGCAACAGAAUCAUUACUAAUUCAAACUCAAUCUGUAUGUGCAACACUAAUUAAUAUAGCCAACCCUAUAUUAUAAAGAGUUAUCUAUUAAAGUAAAACUUUAACUUUUUAUACAACUUAAAUUAAUUCCUUGCCACAAUAAAAUAUAUAGUAAAUAAAAAAGGUAUCUUGUAAUAUAAAUUUCAAGCAUAAUACAUAUCACCAUGACAAUGAAGAUAAUAUGAACUAAUGAUUGUCUCAAUACUUAUUUUUCAGCAGAACGUUCCUAUAGGAAUAGGUAAGCAAGAUCAUAUAUGGGAGUUAGGCAUGCAAAACAUUAUGGUUAUUUCUAUCUGGGCACAUAUCCUGUGAAAAUCAUGCACAAAUGUUCUAAAACUCUAUUAUGAAUAUGACUACACACAAACUAUAGCUAAGAGUAUAAACACGAAAGUCUCCACAAAAUCUAUGAAAAGGCCAAAACUCUCCUUCUCAGGCUGCUGCCAUUUCUUGCCUGUUGCUAAGAAUUAAAAGGAGACUCAUUAAACUUUGAAGAAAUGGAAUGGAAGCCCAAUGAAAAGCCCAAAUCCUCACUUUCUCCCAAAUAUACAAAAAUAUCCUCACGUAUUGUCCUCAAAUAUUCUUUUGUUUCUCUCCAACCACACAACCUAAAAAGUGGCCAUAACUAAACUAGCCCAUAAUAUAACGAACUUCCUCUUUCCUUCAAAUGCAAAAGGAAAUUCCAAAAGCAAGAACCGACGAGAAAAUAGCACAAAUAAGUACACCAAACAUUUAUAUGAAUUAAUUAUUUUUAAAAAAAGUAUAUCAAACAGACAAUAGAAUGCAGUACCAUAUUCUCCUCAUUUCCCCUGCCACCCCAAACCACGCAUAGAGAAGCACAACAAAUAAAUAUAUUCCCUAUACUGGAGAUAUAUAUAAGAUUUCUCCGAAGGUCAUCAGGCUUUAAUACAGCCAGAAAGCGGAUCUCAAUAAAAAUUUAAUUCAAAAUCACUGGUUCUUUUUGGAUGAUGCAGUUGUCAUUAAAUAUUUUGAAAGUAGCUGUGAAAAUAUAUCUCAUUCUGUUAUUCUAACCCCAAAAAUAAAAAUGGAAGAAAUGCCUAAAUAAUAACAAACAUUUGUCGGUCGUUCAGUGCACAACAACCUACAAUUGAAUUUCUUUUUGAGUAUGUUGCCAUUGUUGAGAGUGUACAAAAGUUUUUCACAGCUUCAGCAUUAAACCAAGUAGUAUACUACAAAAUGAAACUGUAGGAUAAACCACGAACGACAUCUAAUUAUAAAAUGUUGAUGAGUGGAAACUUGAUAAUAUUGAUGAAUCUGUUAGUACCUAUAAACGAGGAAUACAAAAACAGGCCUGGUUCACUGCAUUAUUAUUCAUUACCCCUCUAAUUAAUUAAGCUGAAGAAAAUAUCAGUGGCAGAGAAUUCUGUUCUUGGAUCCGUUUUCAACAGUUCGCAUUGUAUAUUAUAUCCUUAAGCAACUUCCGUUUUUCUAAAUAUUUGGAACUGUUUAAGAACCAAUCCAACUAAAAUUAUUGUUGCAAAAGGAAAAAUAUUAAGCACAUAGCAGAGCGAAAGAAUGCAUAUAUGUGAGAAUACGUCUCCUUGAUAUCGAAUAGAAAAGGCCAAAGUAAGUUCAAUAAA
RNAcentral lists this long non-coding RNA (58548 nucleotides) under Citrus x clementina. RNAcentral describes it as "Citrus clementina (C. clementina) long non-coding RNA (CCLE_LNC003408)". Lineage: Eukaryota; Viridiplantae; Streptophyta; Magnoliopsida; Sapindales; Rutaceae. The record is from RNAcentral.